GUAAUUGUUAUAAUUACAUAGAAUAAAUUAGGAUUAAAGGGUUGUAGGAUAUAUACCUUUGUUUUGCAAUGUAUAAAUUUCUGUGAAUCAAUGAAGAAAACAGUAGUCAACUUAGGGCAAUCUCUUACUUUCAACUGCGUCAUUUCUGGGAAUACAAAAUGAUAUCCUUUGGGACAAAAGUGAAUGAGGCCAGGUAGUUCUUCAAGUGAUAAAUUUAGUAAUUUAUCAAAUUUCAUCUCCUCUUCAGCUACCACUUCCGCUUUUUCUUCUAAUUCGAAUACUUGUUCCAAUUUAGAAUUUCUUUCUACUAUGAGCCUUUCAAGCUUUGGAAGAACAGGAGCAAAUCCAAAAGGAAAGAGACUGCUCAAAUUUUUACAAUCUAUAACAACAAUCUCAGUCAAAUUUGGAAAGCUCAUAGGUUGGAGGCUAGUAUCACCAUUUGAUGAUGAUGAAGAAACUUGAUCCUUGGCUAAAAUGAGUCGCUCUAUUUCCUCACACCCCUCGAUGAAAAGACCCUUCAAAUGUGAUAAACUGCGAGCCAUCAUAGGUGAAAAUAUAUAUCUUAGCUUCUUGCAAUCUCUCAGUGUUAGAGUUGUAAGGUUCUCAAGGGUUACAACUUGAGCAAAAUCAUUCCAUAUAACCCGCACUUCAAAUAAAUUCCUCAAUUCCAAUGUUUUUAUGCUUGAGAACGAGUACCCGCCUUGAACUUGAAAUACUUCUUCAUGAUUCCCAACUACUAUACAACCUUCAUUCAAUACAGGAACAUCAGUGUUGCAUAAUUGGCGGAAAUUUCCCACGUUACUAAGAGUCAAUUCCUGCAUACACAGAAAUCCUAAUAAAUGUCAUAAAAACACACUAGAGUAAAUGUUACCCAUAAGUCUUCAUAAUUUUACAUAUUCCAAGUAAUAGAAAAUACUACUCUAAUCUCAAUGCUACAUGUAUCUUUGAUUUUUUUAAAGGAUAUGUUUUUUAAAUCUAAACCCCUAAAAUAUCUACCAAAUUAAUUAAACACAAAAGGCCAUACAAUGGAAUUCAUUUACAAAAGUAUGUAUAAAAGAGGAAUGAAUUAUCACAUGAACUAAGCAACAUAUCGAUUUUCUGAUUUGCUAUAGUGCAAAAUCCAUAUAUAAAAUGCGAACAAUCUAAAUACCUCUAUCAGCUGAGCUUGUACAAUGAAGCAUGAGAUUUGGGGACAAUUUGACACUUCUAAAUUUUUCAGAAAGGGCACAUUAAGUAGAAUGUGAUCACCAAGCACAUCCCUUUCUUCUUUCAAACUGAAGAAUUGUAGUAGUUGAGGGCAGUUCAGUAGGAAAACAGAUUCCAACAAUGGAAAUCCCUGAGUUAAAGUGUUUGCAAACACAUAUUUCAAUCGUUGGCAAUCCACUAUCCAGAGAGUUUUCAAUUUUGUCCAGCAAAGAUUCUACAUGAAUGAACCACAUAUUUAGAUAUUAUGCAAAAUAUAUGUGUAUAAAUAAAAGUGAGGAAUAUGAUUUAUUAAACAUAAUUGAAGUUUUAAAGAAUUUCUUUAUCAAAACAUAUGAAUAAGAAAUAAAUUGAUCUUCCAACGUAUCAGUUAUAAAGAAAUGUAUUUAUCAUAUUUCGCAACUAUGAUACUCCAACCACUUUAAAAUACUUAAUUAUGACUAUUAAAAAAAUAAAAAUAGAAUAUUCAUGGUAAUAGCCGAUGAGAGAGAGAGAGAAUUCUAAUUGCAGCUUCAAUUUUAAAAUAAAUGAAUUAUAAAUAACUUUUAAAAUAAGGUUGAAAUAUUAAUUAUUUUAUGAACAUAAAAAUGAAUUUGAGUCCAAAUACCUGUAAUCCAAAUCCAUCCUUAUUUUUUUCCGUGUUGAAGAUUUGUAUAAGUCGAGGACAAUCUUCUAUAUCAAUAGAUUCCAGGUAGGGAAAUCCUUGACUUGAACACAAAUAUUUCAAGUUUUCACAUCUUCUAAUUUUGACAACUUUCAAUUUUGGCAAGAACAGAGAAGACUGAUCUUUUAUGUUUGAAACAUCUAUUUCAUCCAUGUUUUCUGCUUCUCCGAUUAAAUGUUCUAAAGAGUAGCAAUCCCAAAUCCAAAGAAAUUGCAAAUGCACCAAAGUUCGAGCAGUGAUUUCCGAAAAGAGAUAUGUGAGUUUAUGACAUUCAGUUAUAUCCACACUACGGAGGUAAUGGUUCGGUCCGUUCCACAUGUACUUCAAUUCUGACAAUGAUAUUAACCUCAAAAAAGUUAAAUUUGUCAGAGAUUCCUGUCAUCCAAUAAUAUUUGUUAGUUUAAUCUAAUCACUAAAAUAAAUUGAUUGUACAAUGAUAUACACACUAAUUUUAAUAUCUCACAUAUAUUAUCAAAGCAAAACAAAAAUCAUAAUAAGGUAAAUUAAUUCAAUAAAUUUCUAAAAUAUAAUUAUUAUAUUACAUUAAAAUAAAAUAUUAAAGCGUAACAUCAUGAGAAAAUAAAUAUAUAAUAUUUCUCUAUUUUAAUUUUUAAUAUACAAAUAAUAAAGAGCGUGGCUCUUGAACAAAAGCUAGAGGCUGCAUCGGUUUGUUUGAAUACUUAGAAUUUCAAAAAUCAAUAAAUUACAAUUAUAAAAAGUAAUAAUAUGUAAUAUUCAUUAAAAAUAAAUGAAAGCAAAAAUACUCUAUGAAUUUUAAAAUAUUUAUCAUUAAAAGUACCUGUGAUCCAAGUUCAGGAAGCACAAUGUUUUGUUCCAUGUUGUAGACUUGUAUAAGUUGAUGACAAUUCUUUAUGUAAACAUAUUCCAAGGAUUGAAUCAAAGUGUUUGUAGAAAUAUAUUUCAAACUUUCACAAUCUUGUAUGUGAAGAAAUCUCAAUUUCGGCCAGCAAUAAAGAAGACAAUCAUUCUGCAUGUUUCAAACACAUUUUAGUAAGUUAUUUAUUUUAAAUUUCAUAUAGAAUCACAAAGUUCAUGACCCAAGAGAUUAUCUUGAGCAAUUUUGAAUCAAUCAAAUCUUCAAAAGAUAAUAUUUCAAGUGGCAUGUUCUUCUAUAAUGGGCUAAAAAUCAACCAUAGACUCAGUCAUAGCCCAUAAAAGUCAUUCAAUGAGUUGUCAAUAUAAUAAAUAUAUAUGGAAAUUAUCUCUAUAUUGAUUUGGUGCUCUAGGGAGUAGGCACUCCCUCGAACACCAAAAUCCUAAUUUCAUAUUUUUCAAUAAUAUCAAACCGACCUUGUAAGUUAGCAAUCCAAGGAUAGAAGAAAGGUGUGGCAUGGAAUUAAUUGAAGGCUUUUCUAUAAAGAAAUUAUAAAAUCUAAAUAAAAAGGAGAGACACAACAAUUCAUUAUGCAGUUUAUAAGCCUAUAAAUAGGUUUAAUAUAUUUGUGAUAUGUAUAAGCGAGCGUGUGGAUGAGAAGAAAAAGAAAGAGUGAAACAAAACAAAGGUGUGUGACUUUGUGUGCAUGAAAGUGGAAAUAAGCAAAGUGUGUAUAACUAGUUGUAGGUAGUAACUGAAAGGAAGAGGAAAAUAUAUUUGUAUUUUGCAUUGGUGUAUUUGUUUUGAGUAAUAAAAGCUACUUUCUUUAGUGGCCACUAUGCUUCCAACAAACCCGAUACACAUAAAUAAUAUAAAAAUAAAUACCAAACCAAGCACUUCACUUCAAAUUGGUUUUUGGUUUUCUUGCAAUUUGUUUCAUCCUUAAAAGAAUGCUAUCAUAAAGCUAAAACAAUUAAGAAGAUUAAAAAAAUUGGAGAGAAUAGGUAUCCCUACCUCAAUAAUCUCGUCUUCUUGGCCAAAACCAAUGACUUGCUCUAGUCGAUCGCAGUACCUUAUAUAAAGUUCUUCUAGAUGCAACAUACUUAAAGCUAGGCAAGGUGAGAAGAUUGUUUUCAGAUUAUCACAAUAGUCAAUUCUUACAACCUUUAGACUUUGGAGGCUUGCAAUUGCACGAUGGGAUUGCUUUACUUCCCAUAUCCUCUCCAAUUUCGGCAAUGAAUAUAGUUUCAAUAUUGUUAAAUUUGAGAGCAAUGGUGCCUGACAUUUCACUUUUUCAGAAAGUUUAUCCAUUUGAAAUAUCACUUGUAACUCUUCACAACGUUCGAUGCUCACUUGCUUAAGGUUUUGCAAGAACCUACUCGGAGAAACACCAUAGCACAACCCUUUCAAAGAAACCAUGCUUUCUAUAUUUAAUUCCACCAAAUUAGAGAAUGCAACAGUUGACCCUUGAUCCUUUUUUGUAUCAAUCAAGAAUUCCAUAUCAUUGCAAGAUUCUAGAUGCAGAGAAGUCAACUCAUUUACUCCCAUUUCAUCUAUGCUUGGCACAAUAUUCUUUUGUCCACCAACAUUCCUCAAACUCAACUCUUCCACAUUGCAAAAUAAAUUGUUAAAUGCACUUAUUGAAGAUGAGAAAUUUUGAAUAUUCAAUCUUCUAAACGCCUCCCGAUCGCUACUAUAAUAUCCUCCAACUAUAUCGUACCUUUGUAGUUUAGGGAGCACAAAAUCUUCUUGAGGAAUUUGAUUAGUAGAAAGUUCCAGUGAUAGUGCAGUUAAACGAGACAAUGACUUCAACUCCAAUAAGUUGAGAUUAUUUUUGGUUUCGACAUACAACUCUUGUAGUGAAGUCAACCUAUUAUAUUCAUAAAGAAAGUAGCAUUAAUUGAAAAUUUAUGUGACACAAUCCACAUUCCAUGAGGUAAAAAAAAAUUGUAAUUCCUUGAAGUAAUUCAUAAAAAAGAAAUAUGUAAAAAAAAAAAAGAAGACAAAAACUUGAAAUAAAUCAAGAUAAGUAAUAAAAGGACACUAUUAAAAUUAAAUAAAAAAAUCUCUAAAUUUUUUUUAUCACUUUCAAAGAAAUUUUCAAGAGGUUAAUUUUUUUUCUUUUUAACAAUUUAUCUCAAAAUUUCUGGGUCUAAAACAUAAGUAAUUUUUCUGGUUUUUUUAUAAUAAUUUUUUCACUCUCAAAUUUUAUAAAAAAGUCAUUUUACCCUUCCAUUUAAAAGUCAUUUUACCCUUCUAUUUAAAAUUUCACCUUUUAUAACCCUUAAAUUUAUGGUUUUUUUGUUAAAUCAUCUCAAAAUGAAUAGAAAAGUUAAUGUUUUUAAAAUUUUGCUGAUGUUGAUAUACGUGAAUUAACACAUGAAUAACACAUUAUCCAUAAUAUAUAUAUAUAUAUAUAUAUAUAUAUAUUAAAACAUAUCUAAUAGUAAAAAAAAUUAAGCAUUUAUCUUGAUGUUUUAUUAAAAUUUAAAGUCUUUAUUGUAUUAAACUUCCUUAAUUAAUUUUUAUUGAAUAUUUUAUAUAUAUAUUUUAUAUUUACUUUAAUAUAUAUAUAUAUAUAUAUAUAUAAAACACUUAAUUAUAGUUAAUAAAAUUUUUUAUUUUCCUUGGCAACCCACAUAUCUAUCCACAUACACUUCAGAAAUUAUAUUAUUUGUCUUAUAUGAAUAAUUUUAAAUUUAUAAAAAUAUUCAAAAAAUAAAAAAAUUGAAAUUCAAAAAAAUAAAAAAAAACUAUAAAAUUAAAAAAAUAUAGCAUGAAGUAAGUAUGGAUUGGAAUGUGGGUGUUCAUGUUUAAAAACUUAACAUUUUAGUUAGUAUUUCCGUUAAAAAAUAAUUCAACAUUUUUUAAAAGGUUGAUGCUAUUUUUUAAAUGUCCAUAACCAAAUUUAAUUAAAAACCGAAUAAGGACUAAAUUGAUAAAUGAUGUCAAAACUAGUAUACUAAAAUUAAAAAUACCAAUUAAAGUAAUUAAGAGGAAAAUAAAUUAUGUCAAACCAAAUACGAAUAUGAUAAAAAGAAAAUUAAAUCUGAUGCACUCUUACCUUGAUACCAAAUUUGGGGGGAUAUUCAUUUCUUUUUCAACUCCAACACCAGAAAGACAAAAAUAUUUCAGUGCAGACAACUUCACUAAUUCUUCACUUAUCUCAUCAAUUUUAGUGCCAAUCAAUGCAAGAAUCUCAAGGCUUCUCAUAUUUGUCAGUGAUGAUGAGAAGUUUUCCAGCUCGCAAUCCACACAACACAAAGUUUUAAGAUUUGGUAAGGAAGGGAAUCCUUUCAGUGAGAAGCUGACACAUUUGAGAAGUAAAACUUGGAGGGCUUUCAUUUCUUCAAAAAAUGUACCGAAAACCACUAGGAAAUUAUCAUCUCGGUUCCUCUUCCACUCACCCUCUAAAAACAAAGUUUUGAGCUUUGAAAAUUCCACUUUAUCAGGAAAAUUUUUUAUGAUACUACUACAAUUCCAUAAUGCGAUUGCAGUAUAACUUUCAUCCAUAUGAGGCCAUUCUUUCAACUUAUCUUUUACCAUGAACCUAUUUUCUCCCGUUGAUGUUAGCCAAUGAGCAAAAUCUCGAAUCACAUCAUGGAUUCUAAUCGUAUCUGCACCAUCAGUUUCCAAUAACAAGCCAGAUUUUUGGAGUUUUUUUAGUGCUUCAAUAAUUUUCUUCCUUUUAUCUUCAAUCGAGUAAACAUUAGGGAACAAUCCUACUCCAAUUCCGCACAUAAUCAAUAUCUCAAUACUGAUUUCUUUAUCUUCAGGAAAAAGGGAACACAGUAAGAAACACAUUUGGAUGUGAUUUCCCGUCAUUUGGUUAAUGCCUUUCUUCAAGUAAUCGUAGCUAAGCUUAAGAGGCUCGAUGACACCCCCUAGGACUUCUUCAUCAUACAAAUGCGUUGAGUCCUUGAAUCUCUGAUUUGCGUCUCUCCACCCAUUUAAACUCUCACCUUUUAAAGCUUUGGCCACGACAACAAUUGCAAGAGGCAAUCCCUUACAUUGAGCAGCAACCUCUUUGGCUACAUCAUUCAAGGUGGAACAAUCAUCUUCUAAACCAGUUUUAUCUCGAAAUAAAACCCAUGCUUCGUCUUCGGAUAAGAUGUCAAGUUGAAUUUCCUUACAGUUCAUUUUAGUGCAGACUUGUUGACGACGUGUAGUCAGAAGAAUUUUACAACCCUCGUGUUCAUCACCGAAUGGAAUUCCGAUUCUCUCCAUUUUGAAUUCUUCCCAGAGGUCGUCGACAAUUACGAGGAUUUUGUUCACGCGUUGCAUACUCCUGAAUAGCUCUUCUGCUCUUCCUUCUUCUGUAUUUGUAUGAAAAUUUAAACCAAACAUCUCUGCAACUUUAUCUUGAAUUGUUCUGAUGUUUGGAUUUUGGGACAUAGUAAACAUCACAACUUUAUCAAACAACUUUUGUUCUCGAGCAUGCUUCCCAACUUCUUUGGCUAAAGUUGUUUUACCAACUCCUGGCAUUCCGUGCAGUCCGAUCAUGUUGACACCCUUAGCAUUUAUAGCCUCCAUGAUCUGGUUGAAAGCUGAUUGUGAAGAUUCAGAGUCCAUGAAAUCAGCGGAUGUGAUGAACUCUAUGCCUUGAAGAGGACGACGAUAGCCCACCUGUGCAAAGUUAGAAGUCUCAAAAAGUUUAGAGAUAAUAGGAGUCUUCUUUGCCAGUUUCUUACUUAAGGAAUAUCGCCAGCCCCAUUUAGGACACCAUUUGAAACACUUGACGCGAUCUAUUUCAUCUUGCAAGUUCUGGGUUUCUUCCAGUUCUUGCUCAGCACUUCUAAGCCAGUUCUUAACGUCAUCAUAGAUGAUCUCAGUUUGCCUUUUAGCCUCAUCGACAUCAGUGUCCACCCUCUGUUUCGUCAAUUUAAGUGCCAUUCGUUGAUUCUUGAAAUCUUCAACAAUCUGUCCAUAACGGAAAAAGUAACGGAGAUAAGGUGAUGCGAAUUCCUUUGCCUCGUUUGCCACAAUUCUGACAGCAGCAGGGGCAACAUAUUCGGCCAUUUUUGUUGAUAGUCUGAUGAGAUUGAAAAAAAAAAUUGGUUAUUAGUAAGAAGAUUAACAUAAAGAGAAAUAAAAGCAAUUGUGACAUAUAAAAUCAGUAUUUGUAGUAAAAAAUCGAGUGGAAGCUACCAAAUAAGAAGCUGUAAAUAUUGAUGUAAAGCAAAAAUGUUGUUAUUGAAGAAGGUAGAAAAUACCUCUCUUUCUGUCUGUGAAUACCAGAAAGUAAAAAGAGCUUGAGAGAAAUAAGUAGCUGUAAAAGAUGAAAAGAAUUGAUUUAGCGCAGGUAAUAGAAAAAUAAUAAUAAUAAAAUUGAGAGCAUGUUUUAACCUUCAUAUCACAAAUAAAUAAAUAAUUAAUUAAUGUAAUGCAAAUAAUAUAACCAUACAUGCACACUCAAUCCUAAUUACUCUUCCCAUUGUAUUCAUUCUAAAUCGGAGCUAUAAUUUGUAUGUGAAAUACCAUCAUAUUCUUUUAAAAACAAUUUCUCAUAAAGAAAUCCUAAAAAGGAUUACAUUCUCUUAAAACAUAUUUUCUAUUUAUUUCUACAUUUUCGAUUAUAGAUUGGAUGCUUUUAAGUUCCUAUAGAAUUAGAGUUUGUGUGCUCUCUAAAAUGUUUAAUGAAAAAAAACGAGAAAACUAAUGAAUGGAGAAAGGACACUCUUCAUUUGCCCCUUUCCUGUUUGAUCCGCAUGUUAUAUACUUCAACUCUGAGUAAAAUCUGAUUCGAUUCGAAAAUUUUGAUAAAAAAAUUUAAAUUUUGAUUUAACUAGUUCAAGUUAUUUGAGUUAAUUAAGUUAUUCGGAUAAACUCGAAUUAACUAGUUCGAGUUAUUUGAGUUAAUUAAGUUAUUUGGAUAAACUCAAAUUGACUCGAAUAUGAAUUACAGAAUUCGAGUUAUCCGAAAAUCCGAAUUAGAAAAGAUAAAACUAUGCCAUUUUGAUAAAUGUGUACCUUUCUAAAGUUAAAAAUCAAAACCAUUAAAUUAAAAGGUAAAAUUACAUCAUUUUGAUAAAUAUUUACUCAUUAAGUUAAGAGGCAAAACCAUUAUAUUGUUUAUGUAGUUAAAUAAUAUUGUACUUCGUCUGCUAGUUAAAUAAUCGGUCCAUGUAAAUGCAAUGUUGAAUAUAAAUAAUAGGAUUGGUUAACUCGACUCAACUUGACUCGAAAUUUUUUACUCAAUUUGAUUUGAUUAAAAAAAAUCAAAUUGAAUUUAUCAACUCGACUAACUCGAAAUUUUUCGAUUCGACUCUACUUAAUCAAAUACUCACCCUAGUUCCAAUGUUCUUGUUCUAGUUUGUUCAAUCUUUAAAAUGAAUCUAUAAACUCUUUAAUUAAGACGGAACUUGUAUGAAACCUUUUUUUAUGAAAAAUAAAAUCACAAGUGAUUUAAAAUGACUUCAACCAAACUAAUAGAAAUUUGAGAAUGCCAAUAAAUAAAACGGAGAUCCACUCAACAAAAACAUGAAAACAUAUAGCAAUGAGGAGCAGUUCCUCAAAACUUACCUUCACUGAACUAUCCUCUGCGCUGUUUCUUUUGCCAAGUGGAAAUCAAGGUAUGAAGAAAGUUUGGUUUUCAGAAAUAAAAGAAAUUUUGCAGGUUUUUUUUUCCCCCCUUAAUUGAGACAAUACAAGAAUAUGUGAAGACUGGAAAACAAAUAGUGGAAAUUAUCACACACAGAUUUUUUUUUUUUUUUUUUUUUUGGUGAUGAUCACAGACACAGAUUUCAGAAUAUGUAAGCAAAAAAGGAAAUGACCACAAACACAGAUUUGAGAAUAUGGAAGCAAAAAAGGAAAUGAUCAGAAACACAGAUUCGAGAAUUAGAAAGCCAAAAACAAAGAGUGGAAAUGAUGAGAAACACAGGUUUGAGAACUUGGAAGCAAAAAACACUUUGGAUGAGGAAGAAGAAUGGGAAGUCGUUGGUUUAACUUUUUUUUAUUUAAAUUCAUAAAACAAAUUAUUGUUCAUCAUUCUUUUCUUUAUUAUAAUAAAAUAAUCAUUAUUUUUAUUACCAUUAAAGUCAAUGUCUUUGUUAAUGUAAAAUUCCAUUUUUUAUAUUUUUAUUUAUUUUAAUUACCGUUAACAUUGAAGUUUUUAUUGAAGUAAAAUAUAUAAAGCUGCUUUUUGUUAUUGAAUAUUAUAAUAUUUUAUAUAUACUUUAAUGUAUAGUUAAAUCAUUAUUAAUAAAAAUUUGAUAAUUUAAUAUAUAAAUGUCUAUUAUUUUAUUUAUUUUCAUUACCACCAAUCGUGAAAUUUUGACUUAGUGGCAAAGAGUAUUAGGUAGUAAGCACGAGAACUUGGGUUCAAUCCCAAAGAACCCUAACCCUUACCCUCAAAUUUGUUGAGAAAUGUGUCUAUAUUGUAGUAAAUAUGCAAUUAUUUUCUAUGUACUUGAACGAUAAAUAAAUAAAAUUAAUUUCACAUUUCACUAUUAUAUCUUUGUGUUUUUGUCUUUAAUAUUUUGCAUAAAUAGAAAAAUUAUGAUAAACAAAUGUUAGCUUAAUGAUUUUCUAAGUUCAAACUGAUGAUAAGUGGCAUUGUAAGAACGUUUACAUUACAAGAAAGACAGCUUACAUUAAUAGGUAAUCUAAACGAGUUCAUAAUUCUGUAAAAGAAUCAAAGAGUGAAUUUGAUUCAAAUACUUAAAAAAAUUAUUAUGUCAUCUACAAUUCUAAUUAGGGAGAUGACUAAUUUUAUCUAUCGCAACAGUUGACACCAUGGGUAAAAACAUAGAUAUACUCAUUGGAAGACUGAUAUAUUGAAUUAAAUCUAAGUUGAAUUAAUACUGAAUCUGUUUGUGAAUUAAUUCACAUCUAACAUUCAUGGUGUGUGACCUACCGUCAAUUGUGGUGGUAGUUUUAGUACAUUUCGACACUUCACGAACUUGUUUUCUGGCUAUUUUAUAUUUAUUUAUUACAUUUUCAGCUUUCGCAAUUUAGAUUUAAUUAUUUACAAAAUAAGUGUUUUUACAUACUUUUUAAUAUUUUGAAAUCUCAUAAGGCCAACAUGGAUCUUGAGGGCGACUAAUAGGCUACUUGAGUGUGUCGGGUGUCAAUUCAAGCCCUAAAAUAUAAAGGACAACGGACUUCAUUAGGAAACUUUUGACUUAAAUUCCUUUUUUUUCUUGAAAUAGACACAGUACCCCUAAUUUUUCCAAGUUGAUAUGAACUAUAACUUGAUUUGCUUUAGAAUUUAUAUGAAUUCUAAUUUUUUUUCUUGAAAUAGGUACUAUGGGCUCACUAUUAAUAUUUAAUUUAUUUUUACUCUUUUUUUAGUAAAGUCCUAAUUUUGUUAAAACACAUUAUUUUCAAAUUAGACCUCUUAAUUAGAUUUUGUUUUAGAUUAAUACAAUAUACCUAAUUAUUCUAAACUCCUAAAUUUUAGGUUGUUACAAUAUGAAUUCUAAAUUGAUUUACCCAUAAAAAUAAAUAAAUCGAUCUCUCGGACUAAAAUAUAAAAGAAAUUAAAAUAAUUUAUAAAAAUCCAAAGAGGAAUAACCAUGGUUAAGCCGUGUAUUUAGAGCAUUAAUUUGAAUUUGAGUUUAGUUUUCUUUAUGCUCCUCAAUUAAUGGAAGAAAAGAAUAGUGAGAAAUUACUACUUACCGAGAUUGUGGGUUUCUUCACUCCUUUUUAGGAAUUGUCAAUGAAUUCCUCACGCGGUCACCUUUUUAUUAUUUUUAUGAUGAAUAAUUAAUUAUCAAGAGUCUUCACCACUUUCGCCUGGGACAGGCAUCGUUGAUGAAUUAUUGAUGCUGCUACUUGUUACUAUUUUUAUGAUGAAUAAUUAAGUACGAAGGGUCUUCACCACUUUUGCCAGUGGGAAAGGUAUUGUUGAUGAAUUCUUCACGUUGUUGUUUCUAUUAUUUUUAUGAUGAUUAAUAAAUUAUCAAGAUCCUUCACCAGUUUCGCCACUGCGACAGGCAUUGUUGACGAAUUAUUCUGUUACUUUCUAUUAUUUUUAUGAAGAAUCAUUACGUAUGAAGAGUCUUCACCACUUUUGGUAGUGAGACACAGGCAUCGUUGAUGAUUUCUUCACGCUCUUACUUUUUCAUUAGUUUUAUGAUGAAUAAUUACGGAUGAUGAUAAGACAGAGGUGAAAAGUUGAUUUUCUUUUUAAGAAGCAAUUUUUAGGUUUUUUUAAUUUAAGAUUGGAAGUAACUAAGAAAAGAAAAUAAGGUAUGUAAACCUACGUUCUUGAAUGUGUUUUCUUUUUGAAAUGCUUAUAAUGUUAAAUUUUUGAACAGUUUUCUAUUAUUUUUUUACAACGAAUGAAGAAAAAAAAGAAAAAGAAAAUACGGUGUAUAUAUAUAUGUUUUGUUUACAGUGAUAUGAUUGAGGGGAAAUGUCGAUUUCCAUUGAAUUCAUACUUGAAAAUAGAAAUCACUGUCUGAGACUUUGGACGAAAAAAGAAAAUAAUGCCAAGGACACUGUUAACAGUUCAAACUUUAUUUUCCCUUACUAUGGUCUUAAAUUGUUUUUUAUCAUUUUGAUUUUUAAUCUCUAAAAUUAUAUGAAAAUGUUAUAUUUUGGAUGCAUGGAAAAUAUUGAACUAAAAUGAUACCAUAUAAACAUUGUAAAUGAGAUACUAUUUUGUGGGUUCAUCAAAUCCCUCAAUGGAUGUGUAAGAAUCAACUUCCAAUGUGGCCACGUGUUGGAAAAAUCUAGUUUAAUAAAACAGUUUUCUGUCACGGUGAAAAAUUAAAAUUUUCAAAAUUGAGUUAGUUUGUAAUAUCUAUAGCAAUAAUUUUUUUUCUAAAAAUACGUGUAUUUUGCGCAAGACAGAUCCUAGACGUUCUCAGCAUUCAAUCGAAUAGCCUUCUCUGCUAUCCUUGUACUACGAAAUACUUCGAAUGUGGGCUCGAACAAUCAUGAACCAAGCACAAAAUCAAAAAUAAUUUAUUACUUUUAGUAGGAAGGUAAUUCUCUUUACAAUAAAAACCGGCAAAAUUGUUAUUCCCAUAAAGAUAUAAUUUAUUAUUAGAAAAUAAAUAUUCACAACUUUAUGAUAGAUUAACAAUAUUGAAAAUUUAUGUGAAAGUUUUAUGAAUAGAUCUACCAGUGUCAUCUAUUUAUAAGGAAAUAUAAAAAAAAUCCUAGUAGAAUUAGUAAAACACAAAUAAUAUUUAUUUAAUAGAAAAUUUAGUCUUGUAGUUUAACUAGAAGAGGGGGAGGGGGCACUCCCUAUUUAAGUACACUAGGAAUACUGCCUUCAUAUGUAAUAUGAGAGAGAUUUGGGCAUUUACUAUAUUGAGUUAAAUUAUUUGUGCUUUCUGGAUUUUAACCUAGCACUUUAUAAUUUAAUUCAACUCAAUACAUAUUUUUCAAUUUCUCAAAAUAAAUAUUGUUUAUUUAUUUAAUUUAAUUAGAUAAAUUAAUUUUCUAAUUAAAUAUUUUUUAAUCUCAUUCUAAUUGCGUUAAAGUAACAGAAACUUAACUUUAUUGUAAAAUAAUUUAUGUGGAAAUAUAUUUAAUUUCUAUUUUCAACGGAUUCACAAUGGUUACUUAAAUUAAUUCCAUUUUUGAACUUCAAUUCUUUAAUUAAAUAAUAAUUCAAAAACCUUAAAUUAAUUUUCAAGUCAUUUCUACACUCAUUGUAAAAAGACACAUUCAUUUGUGAAUGUGACCCAUUUAUCUAAUUUUAUCAUUUCUAUUCAUUUCUUUUCAUUUGGUUUUAUAUGCACCUCAUUUUUUUGUUUCAACGAGUUAACAAAGGUACCAAUUGGACAUAUGCAAUUAGGGUUCAAAUAAUUUGUAAUUAAGUUCCAGCUUCUUAUCUAUUAAUUAUAAAUUUAUUUAGUCACGAAGUUAUUCCAUUAUAGUAUUGUGAUUGAGCUCUCCCUUAUUACAUACCAUUACGAAAACUACUUAAUCAGUCCUCGUCCAAUGAUAUAGUCAUAAGUGUGUUACCCUCAUAGGAUAUCAUUAAUCUCUUUGAGAUAAAUUUAUUCUCCCAAUAUGAUCUUAUUUUAUGUCAUGGUAAUCAUUACAUCUUUCUUCAUGAAAAGUCAAUUACUAUUAAAUAGUAAUCAUGUCGUUUAUCACAAAGAAAAACGAAGUGUAGUCACAUUUACUUUUAAUCUAUUAUGUAAUGCCAUUUAAAGGAUACCAUUUACUCAUUUUUUGAGCUUUGAAUUCCACUAUUUUGAAUAAUGCUAUAUAAUGUACAAGUCGUAUACCCAACACACCAACUUUCAGUUCCUUAUCUAUUUGGACUCAAGCUUUUACUUACAUCAAAGUAUAAAAGACACGCAUACAUAGUCCUUCAUCCACUCAGGAUUAAGGUAUGCCACACUACGAACAUCACAAGUGAGUGAAUCCAUAAACGGAUAUAAAAUGUAUUCUACUUGGGUCUUGUCCGAUGUGUUGUCAAUCCAGUUAGUCACAUCUAUAUCUCUAUCUUUUGGGAGUCAUCUGCUUUGAAGCUCAAAACAAAACUUGUCCCCCAUUACACUUGAUAGACAACAUAUUAGUCUUUCAAUCGGUUUGCUAAUUUCCAAUUAGACUAAGGACAUGUUUAGGUUCAUCUAUUAAUAAAAAUUAUUUUUCCAUAUUACAAUCCGACUACGUAAUAUCACUUUUAAAAAUAGCAUAACAUAACUUAAUGAAUAUAACAAUUACCAUUUGAUCAUGACUGAAAUUUUAAACUUAAAAAAAAAUUAAGAUUGAAAAUUUAUCAAAAUAAAAUAUAAAAAUUAAAUAUACAACUUACAAAAGAUACAAAAAUUAUUAAUAAAAUUUAACUAUUUAAAUUAUAAAUAGAAUUUAAUCAAGUCUUACUUUUGAAAACUUUUAGAGUUAUUGAUUUCACUUUAAUUUGUUUAUUUAUUUUAUUUUUACUUUUAGAAUGAAAUAAUAGUUGAAAGAAGACAGAAUGAUGUCAAAAGGAUUUUUAAAUUCGAAAGAUAAGCAAGAAAAAGUGAUUAUUUUAUUUAAAAGAAACAUGGUGUUUACUUAUAAUUUAUCGCUUCAAUUCUUCAAUACCUUUGCUAUCUAAGAUACCAUUAUUACUUUUUCUUUUUUUUUUUUCAUUUUGGUAAUAAAUUUUUUAUCAUAAAUAGUACAUAAGUUAUUUUUUUCUACGUUCACAUUUUGUUAAUCAAAUAGUCAAACAAACCAUUAAAUCUAUUUAAAAACAAUUUUAACCCUUAAAUUGGUACCAAAACUCUGUCAUUUUUCUAAUUUUGAUACUUAAAUAAAAAAAUUUUAUCACAAAUGCUACUUAAAUCAUUUUUUCCCCAAGUUGAUACCUAUGUUAUUAAGCUAACUGUUUAGUUUAUAGAUAGAGUUUCAUUAAGUCUUAUGUUUUAGAAUAUUUUAUUUAAAAUAUCUUAAUUAGUGGAAGAUAAAGUCUUAUGUUGAUAGCAUUGCCAAACAUUAUAAAGGAAUAAGAAAUAAAUAUAAAAAAUAAAUAAAAGAGAGAGAAAACAUGUAAAAAAAGAAUUAAAAUUUAUUUUUUAAAGUUUAUAUGAUGUAGCAUUCUAUAAUUGGUUGGAAUUUUUUUAAAGGAUAAAACAAUUUGGUGUAAAAUGGGUAACAAAAGAAUAGUUUAUAUACCGGUUGUGGUUAAAAAAAGUUUAGAUACCAACUUGGAAAAAGAGAGUAUUGUUUAGGUAGUAAUUUGUGGGUUAAGUUGUUUUUUAAAUAAACAAAGAUUUACCAUGAUUGCAAUUUUAGAGAGACGCGAAAGCGAAAGCCUAUGGGGUUGCUUCUGUAACUGGAUAACCAGCACUAAAAAUCGUCUUUACAUCAGAUGGUUUGGUUUUUGAUGAUCCCUUUUUGACUGCUACUUUUGUAUUUAUUAUCGCCUUCAUUGCUGCUACUCCAGUGUUUCUAGAUCUCUACUUUAUGGAAACAAUAUUAUUUUUGGUGCCAUUAUUCCUACUUCUACAGCUAUAAGUUUGCACUUUUACCUUAUUUGGGAAGCGUCAUCCUUAUGAGUUAAUUGUUUUACACUUCUUACUUGGUGUAGCUUGUUACAUGGGCCGUGAGUGGGAACCUAGUUUUCGUUUGGGUAUGCGGCCUUGGAUCGCUGUUGCAUAUUCAGCUCCUGUUGUAGCUACUACCACCGUUUUCUUGAUCUAACAUGUGAAACGGAUACAUAGAUUGCUUAGAGGUCCAAGGUUUAAACCACACCUCUCUCAUUUUUCCAUUUUAAAUUUUUAGCAACCCAGGAUAAAAGCCACACUAAAAUAAAUAUUAUUUAGAGUGAAAUUUAUUAAGAAAUGGGUAGCAAUCCAAUGGUUAAACACUUACUCCUCUCCCAUGCAGCCUCUUCAUAUUUGAAAACUCUAGUUAUUUAUUCCCUUUUUCCCUAAUUACACUAGGAUUAUGUUUCUUUUUUCGUUCCAAUUAGAAUUUCUCUUCUCUCUCCCUAUUUCUUCUCAUAUUUCUUUUCCAUCAACUUCUUUGCAUCAAAUUUUCUCUCCAUUGCUGAAACUAUUUUUGCUCUCGAUAUCAAAUCAAUCCUCAACAAUUCGAUUCUCUACCAUUUGUUGAAUUUAUCUUUGAUAGCUUCCGUAAUUCCAUCAAGUACGGUAAGUGCCUCUCGAUCUAAAGUUUAGGACCCCAAAUUUCAUAAUUUUUUUAUCCGAUAUUGAUCUUACAAAUCAAUUAGUCAAUCUUUCACGGUUCUUGAAAAACCUAUCGUUAAUAUACAAAUGUUAACUAUUGUAUAAUUGUCGUUUGAAGGACCCAAUUUAGGGAUCUCGAAUCAGAUUUGAACAUGAGGGACAUCGCUCAAGAUCUCGAUGAAUCGGGAAAAAAUCGUGCCAAUGAUAACACCAUAGAGUCUUCCACACAAGUGUGUGGGUUACACAGCCCCUCACACGACCAUGUCCCCUUAAAACCCAAGGAUCUUCGAUUCUCACAUGGCCUAGGACCCUUCAUAUGACUGUGUCUCCCUUACACCCUGAUUUUGCCUGAUCCAUACUGCCACAGCCUGUCACACGAUAAUGUAACCCCUUCAUGUGACUGAAGGCAUUGCAUACGGCCAUGUGCCCCUAUUUAAAUUAUUACCUAAAAUUUUAUGAUUUGUUCAGUUUAGUCCCUGAAUGGUUUUUAAACUAUUUUUUAAUGUUUUAUUUUUAUUCAAUUAAGUCCUUGAUAAUAUGGAAAAUGCUAGAAUCCAUGACAUAAUUGACUAAAUUAAUGUUAUAUAUAAUUGCUUGUAUUGUGAAUGAUAUAUAUGUUUAUUAUAUAAACAGAGCCAAGUUGUGCUCUAUCUAUAAGUAUAAACAUAUAAUCAAAAUAAAUUUCACUUCUUCUUGAAUGAUUUGAUUACAUAGAGAGUAAUAUUCUUUAGAUCUUAUGCAUGUUUUGAGUUAUAUAUAAGAAUGGAUGCAAUAUUAUAUAUUUGUUAUAAAUUGUUUUAUAUUGUCAAGGUUGUGGUUAGGAAAUAGACCGCGGACAAUCAUCUCAAUGUAAGGCUAUUUUUUUUAAAAUUCAUAGAAUUCUUGUGAAUGAAAACGGACAGAAGACUUAAAUCACUACAAGAAAUAAAGCUUUUAGAGGCAUUUUUAGUGGCGUUUGGACCAAAAAUGCCGUAAAAGUUAUGCAUUAGUGGCGCUAAUUGAAAAACACCACAAAAGGUCAAGCAGUAGCGGCAUUUUUUAUAAAAAAUGCCGCAAAAAAUCAUUUUAUUUUAAACAAAACGGCGCCAUUUUGCUCCCUGUAUUCUCACCCAUCAUCCAAGUGGCCAUCAUGUAUUGAUCUUUUCGACAACUCAUGCACUGUUUUAUCCUCUUCUAUUUAUUAUUUAACUAGUUUCUUUAUAUUAAUUGAAAUACAAUUUAUUUUUAAUUUAAUAUUAAAAAUCUUCAGAAAAAUUAAUGACACGUAAAAAACAUUAGAAAGUAAAAACAUAGAAAAAUAUAUGUUAAAAAUGAAAAAAAUGAAAAUACUAUUAUUUAAAAUACUAUUAUUUAAAAUAAUUUUAUCUGCUGUAACAAACUGACUUCUAACUAGAAGAGAUUUUGAUUGGGGAUUCUAGUUUACAGAGAGGCUUGACUCCUUUUGUAGAUGAUGGCCUAAUUGAGAUAGUUGGAUUUAGAAAUGUCCUGCAUGGUCUUGUUUUGCUUGCUCCAAAUGGACAUGAGACUCAUUUAGCACCGGUAGAAUAAGAAGGUUCAUGACUGGUUUGCACUUUUUGACCUUAGGGAUUUUGAAAUUUUGGAGAUUAGACUGUAUUUGGGAAUUUGAAGAUAUAGCGGAAAUUGUAGCUCCUAACCAUAUAGGUUCAUUAAUUAUGAGGUUAGAUCCUUCAUUAUUGGUAUAUAAAUUGUCGAAACCAUUUUUUUGAUAAAAGCGUCGACUUUUUAAAUUAUGAUAAAACAGGAGUCGCCACCGAUCUUUUAUUGAAGUAUGAUCGGAUCACCUUGAAAAUUUUUUUGGUCUACGAGUUUCAAAAAAAAAAAGGGGUUCGGGAGUCAGUUAUGUGUGAGGAAGGAUUAGCACCCCCGUAACGCCCAAGAUUGGCACCGAAUCGAUUUAUUAAUAUCUCAAUGUCAAAAUUUUGAAAGGAUUUUUAAAAUACGAUUCCCCUUAAAAAAACUUGAAUAAAUUGAAUUAAAUGCUAAGACCCUUUGUUUUGAAGAAGUCAAAUGUAAUACCCAGUGAGUUAGGAUACAACAUUUCUAAUUCUCGAAAUUAAACUUGCCUUCUGACUUUAAAAACUCAUGAUUUUAGGUUUGAGAAGGAUACUCGGAUAUUUAGGUGAAAUGAAAAAUCGGAACCUAGUGAGUUAGGGUUCAAUUUCUCAAAAUUCUCAAAUACAGAAUAUUGCCUGCUUUUUUUGAAAUCCUUACCUCGAGGUAACAAAAUGUCACAUCCCGUGAGUUAGGAUACAACCCUUUUGGAAUUCCCGAGAUAAAUUUUGGUUUUUGAAAUUGGUACGAUUUUAUUGAAAAAGGGAUACUCGGCUAUUUAAAUUCAACAAAAAAAUUGAAGCCCAGUAAGUUAGGGCACAAUCUCCUCGAGAAUCUUGGACCCCGAGUAUCUUGAAAAUUUUGGAAUAAAACUACUUUAAUGUUUUAAUGAAGCGUAAUCUUCAAAACAAAUGUAGUGCGAUUAAUGGUAACGCAUAAUACGAAAGGAUAAUUUGUAAAUAAAACAUAGACCAAGGAAUGAUGAAUAAAUAAUAAAAAAAUUCAACAAGCUUAGCAAUGAUUAUCUCAUGCGAACACCAACAUUAGCUAAUAGGAGGAAACUAAUUUAAAAUUGAGCAAAUUUACAUAAACACCAAUAAAGUGUACAAGUUUAAACACCAUUUAAGAAAAAAAAUGACAUGAAAGAAGGUAAAUUGAAAUUAAUAAAUUAUAUUUAAAUGAAUAACAUGUAGAAAAAUUCGAAAUAAAUUUUACAUGAAAUUGUAAUAUGCAAAUGAAUUCUAAAGUAAAUAUGGUAUAUAAGUAGAAAAUUAAAAUUUAUAAUAUAUAAAACAAUUAAUACACAUAUUAAUUUAAAUAAAUAAUGCAUAUUAAAUGAAGAGUUUGAUAAUAAUAAAAACAAUAAUAUAUGUACAUAAUAAAAAUACAAUAUGGUUGAAAUAUACAAAAUAAGUAAAGGAGGUUUAAAAAUAAAUAAAUUAUAAAUGUAAAAGCCAAAAGAUGAUAAUUAUAAUAAGGGUAAACUACUAAAAUAGUCACUUUUGUUUGGUUCAGGUUACGUUUUAGUCACUUAUGUUAUCAUGUUGUAGCAUUUUUGUCACUGAGCCGUUAAUUUCUAUUAACUCUGUAACAAUAAGCUAAUGUGGCACAUUAAAUCAUCAUUUCAAACAAAAAUUCUAGGUUAAUUUAUACAAUCGGUCCCAUAUUUUUUUCUUUUAUGUUUUUUUAACUUUCUUUCUUUUCCAUUCUCUUAUGCUUCUCCCUUUGUUUUCCUCCUUUCUCCAUUUAAUUUCUUUCAACGUAUUUGUUUUCCUCCUUUCUCCAUUUCUUUCAACGUAGUUUUGCUAUGUUUUAUUUUUUUGACCAAUUUAAUUUUUCCGAGUGAGGCGAGCUUGUGGACUAGUUACAGAUGGAAAACAUAGAAAAACUAUGUUAAAAGAAAUGAAGAAUAGAGGAAAAUAGAGGGAGAAGCAGAAGAGAAUGGAAAAAAAAAGUUAAAAGAACUUAAAAGAAAAUUUUAAAAUUGUUUAAAAUGAAAAAAUAUAGGGACCAAUUGUAGAAUUUAACCUAAAAUUUUUGUUUGAAAUGAUGAUUUAACAUGCCACAUCAGCUUAACAUUACACCAUUGUUGGCAAUUAACGACUCAGUGACUGAAAUGUUACAACACGAUAACGUAAAUGACUAAAACAUAAUAUUUCAAACAUAAGUGACUAAAAUGUAACCUAAGGCAAACAAAAGUGACUAUUUUGGUAGCUUACCCUUAUAAUAACAUGGCUUUGAAAGCUACCCUAAAAUCAUCCAUUCUUUCAUGUAAUGUGUGGUAGUUGACUCUCACCCCCACCUCGGCUCCAAUCUAUAUUCUCGUUGAAAAUUGCAUUUCGAACAGUGGUAGGCUCUUCAACCGCAACUUGCUCAACCAACUGAGUAGCCUUGGAAAACAAUUGAAGAAAAUUUAUAAUUGAAACUUUAAUCUCAUGUCAUCAAGGAAAAAAAUAAGAAACACAUAUAUACUCAAGGAAUUUAAUUAAAAAUUUUGCAUGUUAUGCCUUUAGUUGUAAUUGUUAUAAUUACAUAGAAUAAAGUAGGAUUAAAGGGUUGUAGGAUAUAUACCUUUGUUUUGCAAUGUACAAAUUCCUGUGAAUCAAUGAAGAAACCAGUAGCCAACUUAGGGCAAUCUCUUACUUCCAACUCUAUCAUUGCUGGGAAUACAAAAUGAUAUCCUUUGGGACAAAAGUGAAUGAGGCCAGGUAGUUUUUCAAGUGAUAACCAUUCUAAUUUAUCAAAUUUCAUCUCCUCUUCAGCUACCACUUCCACUUUUUCUUCUAAUUCGAAUACUUGUUCCAAUUUAGAAUUCCUUGUAACUAUGAGAGUUUCAAGCUUUAGAAGAACAGGAACAAAUCCAAAAGGAAAAAGACUGUUCAAAUUUUUACAGUUUAUAACAAUGAUUCGUUUCAAAUUUGGAAAGCUCAUGGGUUGGAGGCUAGUAUCACCAUUGGAUGAUGAAGAAGAAACUUGAUCCUUGGCUAAAAUGAGUCGUUCUAUUUCCUCACACCACUCGAUGAAAAGAUCCACCAAAUGUGAUAAACUGCGAGCCAUCAUAGGCGAAAAUAUAUAUCUUAGCUUAUUGCAACCACUCAGUGUUAGAGUUGUAAGGUUCUCAAGGGUUACAAUUUGAGCAAAAUCGUUCCAUAUAACCCGCACUUCAAACAAAUUCCUCAAUUCCAAUAAUUUUAUGGUUGAGAACGAGUACCCGCCUUGAACUUGAAAUACUUCUUCUUGAUUCCCAACUACUAUACAACCUUCAUUCAAUACAGGAACAUCAGUGUUGCAUAAUUGGCGGCUAUUUCCCACGUUACUAAGAACCAAAUCCUGCAUACACAGAAAUCCUAAUAAAUGUCAUAAAAACACACUAGAGUAAAUGUUACCCAUAAGUCUUCAUAAUUUUACAUAUUCCAAGUAACAAAAAAUACUACUUCUCUAAUCUCAAUGCUACAUGUAUCUUUGAUUUUUUUAAAGGAUAUAUUUUUUAAAUCUGAACCCCUAAAAUAUCUACCAAAUUAAUUAAACACAAAAGGCCAUUGCUUGAUACAUUUUUAUUUAAAGAGUGAAAAAUGGAAUUCAUUUACAAAUUAUGUAUAAAAGAGGAAUGAAUUAUCACAUGAACUAAGCAACAUAUCGAUUUACUGAUUUGCUAUAGUGCCAAAAUCCAUAUAUAAAAUGCGAACAAUCUAAAUACCUCUAUGAGCUGAGCUUGUAAAAUGAAGCAUGAGAUUUGGGGACAAUUUGACACUUCUAAAUUUUUCAGAAAGGGCACAUUAAGUAGAAUGUGAUCAUCAAUCACAUCCCUUUCUUCUGUCGAACUGAAGACUUGUAGUAGUUGAGGGCAGUUCUUUAGGUAAAUAGAUUCCAACAAUGGAAAUCCCUGAGAUAAAGUGUUUGCAAACAGAUAUUUCAAUAGUUGGCAAUCCUCUAUCCGGAGAGUUUUCAGUUUUGUCCAGCAGUGAUUCUACAUGAAUGAACCACAUAAUUAGAUAUUAUACAAAAUAUAUUUGUUUAAAUAAAAGCGAGAAAUAUGAUUUACCAAAACAUAUGAAAAAGAAAGCAAUUGAUCUUUGAUUUAUCAUAUUUUGGAACUGUGAUACCCCAACCACUUCAAAAUCAUUAAUCAUGACAAUAAAAAAAUAAAAAUACAAUAUUCAUUGUAAUAGUCGAUGAGAGAGAUUGAACUCUGAUGCUCGUUCAACUUUAAAAUCAAAGAAUUAUGAAUACAAUUUUUUUUAGUCCAACAUGAAGUUUUGAAUAAAAAUAUUAAUAUCUAAAAAUGGACUUUGAUAAGUUAUUCUAAUAGUUUUCAGACUAUAGAGGUUAACGCAAUGAUUUGAUCCAUUCCAUAUGCACCUCAAUUCCGAUAAUGAUAUCAAUAUUUAUUAGUUAAAUUUACCAAAAUUCUUGCCAUCAAAUAAUAUUUAUUAGGUAGAACUAACCACUACUCAAAUAAAUUCAUUCUACAAUUAUAUUAAUAUAUAUUUAUACAACACUGUUUUAAUAUCUCACAUAAAUUAUCAAAUUAAAAUAUGGUAGCAUUGCAAAAACAAAUCAUAUUAUGGUAAAUUAAUUUAAUAAUUUUCUAAAAUAUAAUUUAAAUAAUUAUUAUUAUAUUAAAUAAAUAUAUUAAAUCUUAACGUCAAUAGAAAAUAAAUAUAUAAUAAUUCUCUAUUUUAAUUUUUACUAUUUAUAAUUAUACAUGAAUUAUUUUAAAUAUGAAUAUUAUAGUAUAUUAGUAUUUGAUAAUAAAAAUUUAUAAAUUAAUUUGAUAUACUAAUUUUAAAAACAUAUAGUUGUAAUUUAAUUUUUAAAUUAUAACUUUUUAUAUUUUUAAAUAGUUGUUAUAUGGUAUGUGUAUGUUCGAUUUGAUUUAAACUCAAUAAAAAAUUUGAAUUGAACACUACAAUUCAAAUUAAUUUUCAAUUUUUUCAACUCUUUGCUCAGCCUUAAAAAUGUAAAUACAGAAGUACCUGUGAUCCAAGUUCAGGAAGCACAAUAUCUUGUCCAUGCUUAUUUUGUUCCAUGUUGAAGACUUGUAUAAGUUGAGAACAAUGUCUUAUGUAAACAGAUUCCAAGGAUUGAAGCCCUUGAGUCCAAGUGUUUGCACAAACAUAUUUCAAAUUUCGGCAAAAUUCUAUGCGAAGAAUCCUCAAUUUCGGCCAGCAACAAAGAGAAGAGUCAUUCUACAUGUUUCAAACACACAUCUUAGUAAGUUAUUUAUUUUAUUAUUAAUUAAAAUAGAUUAUUAAUUAAAAGAUAAAAUAUAAAAACAUGUAUAUGCUGCUUAGUUUCUUUUAGCAUACCAAUGGUUAGAUGCACAGGGUUUCUACCCAAAAAAGCAACAAGCUAACUCAAAAAAACUAGGGGGUUUUUAGUUGUUUAUAAAACACACAAUCGAAAUAAAUAAAAUUGAAUUUAUUUUUUUAUAAUUAGGAAUGGAGAAUGAAAUUGUUUGAAAUUGAAUUCAAGUAUUCAUGUCUACAAUAUAAUAUUUUUGUUGUUAGACUAAAACAUCAUUAGCAACUUAAAUGCAAAUAUUUAUUUUAAAUUAUAAAAAUAUUAAAGCAUUAUUAUAAAUUAAAUAAAAGAUAGAAUUUCCUUCUAUAUAAAUAAUUACAUUCUUCUAUCAUGUAAAUUGUGUUGAAGUCAAACAAACCUUAUAAGUGGGCAAUCCAUGGGCAAAAGUCAAGGUGGCAUGGAAUUAAUUGAAGGCUUAUCCAUAAAUAAAUAAAAUAAACAUAAAAUGAGAGAGGUGGCAAUUGAUGAGGUGGUUUUUGAGCCUAUAAUAAGGUUUCAUAUAUUUGUGAUAUGAAGAAAAAGAAAGAGUAAGAAAUGAAAGAAAUGAAAGAAAUGUGUGUGAGUUUGUGUGCACAAGAGUGGAAAUAUGCAAAGAGUGAAUUGUGAGUGUAUAACUAGUGGUAACUAGAAAUUGAGAGAGGGGAAAAUAUAUUUGUAUUUUGUGUAAGUGUAUUUGUUUUGAGUAAUAAAAUUUAAUUUCCUUAGUCACUACUUCACUUCCAAUAAGUGGUAUCCAAGUUACAUUGGUGUCCUCAUCACAAGGAGAUGACAAACAUGAUUCAACCAUAGAUAGAAUCACAAACUAAAUCAAAGUCCAUGAUUCAAGGGAUUAUCUUGGACAAUUUCAAAUCAAUUCAAUCUCUAAAAGAUAAUCUCCUAAGUGAUAUGAUCUUCUAUAAUGGUCUAGAUAUCAAUCAUAGACUCAAUCAUACCCCAUAAAAGUCAUUCAAUAAGUUGCCAAUAUAAUAAAUAUGGAAAAGGUUUCCAUAUCGAUUUAGUGCUCUAGGGAAUGAAUACUUCCUUUGACACUAAAAUGUGAGUUUUUUCAACAAUAUUAAAUUGACCUUGUAAGUUAGCAAUCUAAAGGUAGAAUAAAGUGGCAUGGAAUGAAUUAAAUUAAGGCUUUUCUAUAAAUAGAAAAAAUCUAAAUAAAAAUGAGAGACAACAAUUCAUGAUGCAUUUUAUAAGCCUGUAAAUAGGUUUCAUAUAUAUGUGAUAUGUAAAAGCAAGCGUGUGAAAGAGAAGAAAAAGAAAGAGUAUGAAACAAAACAAAGGUGUGUGACUUUGUGUGCGUGAGAAUGGAAAUAAGCAAAGUUUUAAAGAUUUCCUUUAUCAAAACAUAUGAAUAAGAAAUAAAUUGAUCUUCCAACGUAUCAGUUAUAAAGAAAUAUAUUUCGCAACUGUGAUACUCCAACCACUUUAAAAUAAUUAAUUAUGACUAUUAAAAAAUAUAUAUAUUCAUGGUAAUAGCCGAUGAGAGAGAUAGAAUUCUAAUUGCUGAUUAUAAAUAACUUUUAAAAUAAGGUUGAAAUAUUAAUUAUUUUAUGAACAUAAAAAUGAAUUCGAGUCCAAAUACCUGUAAUCCAAAUCCAUCCUUAUUUUUUUCCAUGUUGAAGAUUUGUAUAAGUCGAGGACAAUCUUUUAUAUCAAUAGCUUCCAGGCAGGGAAGUCCUUGACUUGAACACAAAUAUUUCAAGUUUUCACAUCCACUAAUCCUGACAUCUUUCAAUUUUGGCAAGAACAGAGAAGACUGAUCUUUUAUAUUUGACAAAUGUUCUAAAGAGUUGCAAUUCCAAAUCACGAGAUAUUGCAAAUGCACCAAAGGUCCAUUCCACAUGUACUUCAAUUUUGGCAAUGAUCUUAACUCCAAAGAAGUUAAAUUUGUCAGAUAUUCCUGUCAUCCAAUAAUAUUUGUUAGUUUAAUCUAACCACUAAAAUAAAUUGAUUGUACAAUGAUAUACACACUAAUUUUAAUAUCUCACAUAUAUUAUCAAAGCAAAACAAAAAUCAUAAUAAGGUAAAUUAAUUCAAUAAAUUUCUAAAAUAUAAUUAUUAUAUUACAUUAAAACAAAAUAUAAAAAAAACAUAUUAAAGCGUAACAUCAUGAGAAAAUAAAUAUAUACUAUUUCUCUAUUUUAAUUUUUAGUAUACAAAUAAUAAAGAGCGUGUACGUGGCUCUUGAACAAAAGCUACAGGCUGCAUCGGUUUGUUUGAAUACUUAGAAUUUCAAAAAUCAAUAAAUUACAAUUAUAAAAAGUAAUAAUAUGUAAACAUAUAUUCAUUAAAAAUAAAUGAAAGCAUAAAUACUCUAUGAAUUUUAAAAUAUUUAUCAUUAAAAGUACCUGUGAUCCACGUUCAGGAAGCACAAUGUUUUGUUCCAUGUUGUAGAUUUGUAUAAGUUGAUGACAUUUCACUAUGAAGACAGAUUCCAAGGAUUGAAUCAAAGUGUUUGUAGAAAUAUAUUUCAAACUUUCACAAUCUUUUAUGCGAAGAACUCUCAAUUUCGGCCAGCAAUAAAGAAGACAAUCAUUCUGCAUGUUUCAAACACGUUUUAGUAAGUUAUUUAUUUUAAAUUUCAUAUAGAAUCACAACUCAAAUCAAAGUGAUCCAAAAUAUUGUCUUGGGCAAUUUUGAAUCAAUCAAAUCUUUAAAAGAUAAUAUUUCAAAUGACAUGAUCUUCUAUAAUGGGCUAAAAAUCAACCAUAGACUCAGUCAUAGCCCAUAAAAGUCAUUCAAUGAGUUGUCAAUAUAAUAAAUAUGGAGAUUAUCUCUAUAUUGAUUUGGUGCUCUAGGGAGUAGGCACUCGCUCUAACACCAAAAUGCUAGUUUCAUAUUUUUCAAUAAUAUCAAACCGGCCUUGUAAGUUAGCAAUCCAAGGAUAGAAGAAAGGUGGCAUGGAAUUAAUUGAAGGCUUUUCUAUAAAGAAAUAAAAUCUAAAUAAAAAGGAGAGACACAACAAUUUAUGAUGCAGUUUAUAAGCCUAUAAAUAGAUUUAAUAUAUUUGUGAUAUGUAUAAGCGAGCUUGUGGAUAGAAGAAAAAGGAAGCGUUUGAAACAAAACAAAGGUGUGUGACUUUGUGUGCAUGAAAGUGGAAAUAAGCAAAGAGUGAAUUGUGUGUAUAACUAGUUGUAGGUAGUAAUUGAAAGGAAGAAGAAAAUAUAUUUGUAUUUUGCAUUGGUGUAUUUGUUUUGAGUAAUAAAAGUUACUUUUAAUUUCUUUAGUGGCCACUACGCUUCCAACAAACCCGAUACACAUAAAUAACAUAAAAAUAAAUACCAAACCAAGCACUUCACUUCAAAUUGGUUUUUGGUUUUCUUGCAAUUUGUUUCAUCCUUAAAAGAAUACUAUCAUAAAGCUAAAACAAUUAAGAAGAUUAAAAAAAUUGGAGAGAAUAGGUAUCCCUACCUCAAUAAUCUCGUCUUCUUGGCCAAAACCAAUGACUUGCUCUAGUCGAUCGCAGUAGCUUAUAUAAAGUUGUUGUAGAUGCAACAUACUUAAAGCUAGGCAAGGUGAGAAGAUUGUUUUCAGAUUAUCACAAGAUUCAAUGCUCACAACCUUUAGACUUUGGAGGCUUGCAAUUGCACGAUGGGAUGGCUUUACUUCCCAUAUCCUCUUCAAUUUCGGCAAUGAAUGUAGCCUCAAUAUUGUUAAAUUUGAGAGCAAUGGUGUCUGACAUUUCAUUUUUUCAGAAAGUUUAUCUAUUUGAAAUAUCACUUGUAACUCCUCACAAUCUUUAAUGAUCACUUCCUUAAGGUUUUGCAAGAACCUAGUCGGAGAAACACCAUAGCACAACCCUUUCAAAGAAGCCAUGCUUUCGAUAAUUAAUUCCACCAAAUUAGAGAAUGCAACAGUUGACCCUUGAUCCUUUUUUGUAUCAAUCAAGAAUUCCAUAUCAUUGCAAGAUUUGAGCUGCAGAGAAGUCAACUCAUUUACUCCCAUUUCAUCCAUGCUUGGCACAAUAUUCUUUUGUCCACCAACAUUCCUCAAACUCAACGCUUCCACAUUGCAAAAUAAAUUGUUAAAUGCACUUAAUGAAGAUGAGAAAUCUUGAAUAGCCAAUCUUCUAAACGCCUCCUGAUCGCUACUAUAAUAUUCUCCAACUAUAUCGUACCUUUGUAGUUUAGGGAACAUAAAAUCUUCUAGAGGAAUUUGAUUAGCAGAAAGUCUCAGUGAUAGUGCAGUUAAACGAGACAAUGACUUCAACUCCAAUAAGUUGAGAUUAUUUUUGGGUAUGACAUGUAACUCUUGUAGUGAAGUCAACCUAUUAUAUUCAUAAACAAAGUAGCAUUAAUUGAAAAUUUAUGUGACACAAUCCACAUUCCAUGAGGUUAAAAAAAAAAAUUGUAAUUCCUUAAAGUAAGUCAUAAAAAAGAAAUAUGUAAAAAAAAGUCAAAAACUUGAAAUAAAUCAAGAUAAGUAAUAAAAGGACACUAUUAAAAUUAAAUUAAAAAAUCUCUAAAUUUUUUUUAUCACUUUCAAAGAAAUUUUCAAGAGGUUAAUUUUUUUUUUCUUUUUAACAAUUUAUCUCAAAAUUUCUGGGUCUAAAACAUAAGUAAAUUUUCUGUUUUUUUUUAUAAUAACUUUUUUCACUCUCAAAUUUUAUAAGAAAGUCAUUUUACCCUUAUAUUUAAAAGUCAUUUUACCCUUCUAUUUAAAUUUUAACCUUUUAUAACCCUUAAAUUUGUGAUUUUUUUGUCAAAUCAUCUCAAAAUGAAUAGAAAAGUUGAUGUUUUAAAAUUUUACUGAUGUUGAUAUACGUGGAUUGACACAUGAAUAACACAUUAUUCAUAAUAUAUAUAUAUAUAUAUAUACAUAUCUAAUAGUAAAAAAAAUUGAGUAUUUAUCUUGAUUUUUUAUUAAAAUUUAAAGUCUUUAUUUUAUUAAACUUCCUUAAUUAAUUUUUAUUUAAUAUUAUAUAUAUUUUUAUAUUUACUUUAAUAUAUAUAUAUUUAUAUAUAUAUAUGUAUAUACAUAUAUAACACUUAAUUAUAGCUAAUAAAAUUUGUUAUUUUCCUUGGCAACCCACAUAUCUAUCCACAUAUACUUCAAACAUUACAUUAUUUGUCUUAUAUGAAUAAUUUUAAAUUUAUAAAAAUAUUCAAAAAAUAAAAAAAUUGAAAUUCAAAAAAAUAAAAAAAUCAUAAAAUUAAAAAAAUAUAGCAUGAAGUAUGGAUUGGAAUGUGGGUGUUCAUGUUUAAAAACUUAACAUUUUAGUUAGUAUUUCCGUUAAAAAAUAAUUCAGCAUUUUUUAAAAGGUUGAUGCUCCUUUUUAAAUGUCCAUAAUCAAAUUUAAUUAAAAACCGAAUAAGGACUAAAUUGAUAAAUGAUGUUAAAAUUAGUAUUGUAAAAUUAAAAAUACCAAUUAAAGUAAUUAAGAGGAAAAUAAAUUAUGUCAAACAAAAUACCAAUAUGAUAAAAAGAAAAUUAAAUCUGAUGCACUCUUACCUUGAUACCAAGUUUGGGGGGAUAUUCAUUUCUCUUUCAACUCCAACACCAGAAAGACGUAAAUAUUUCAGUGCAGACAACUUCACUAAUUCUUCACUUAUCUCAUCAAUUUCAGUGGCAAUCAAUGCAAGAAUCUCAAGGCUUCUCAUAUUUGUCAGAGAUGAUGAGAAGUUUUUCAGCAUGCAAUCAUAACACCUCAAAGUUUUAAGAUUUGGUAAGGAAGGGAAUCCUUUCAGUGAGAAGCUGACACGUUUGAGAAGUAAAACUUGGAGGGCUUUCAUUUCUUCAAAAAAUGUACCCAAAACCACUAAGAAAUCAUCUCGGUUCCUCUUCCUCUCGCCCUCUAAAAACAAAGUUUUGAGCUUUGAAAAUUCCACUUUAUCAGGAAAAAUAUUUAUGAUACUACUACAAUUCCAUAAAGCGAUUGCAGUAUAACUUUCAUCCAUAUGAGGCCAUUCUUUCAACGUAUCUUUUACCAUGAACCUAUUUUCUCCCGUUGAUGUUAGCCAAUGAGCAAAAUCUCGAAUCACAUCAUGGAUUCUAAUCGUAUCUGCACCAUCAGUUUCCAAUAACAAGCCAGAUUUUUGGAGUUUUUUAGUGCUUCAACAAUUUUCUUCCUUUUAUCUUCAAUCGAGUAAAAAUUAGGGAACAAUCCUACUCCAAUUCCGCACAUAAUCAAUAUCUCAGUAUCGAUUUCUUCAUCUUCAGGAAAAAGGGAACACAGUAAGAAACAAAUUUGGAUGUCAUUUAUUCCCGUCAUUUGGUUAAUGCCUUUCUUCAAGUAAUCGUAGCUAAGCUUAAGAGGCUCGAGGACACCCCCGAGGACUUCUUCAUCAUACAAAUGCGUUGAGUCCUUGAAUCUCUGAUUUGCGUCUCUCCACCCAUUUAAACUCUCACCUUUUAAAGCUUUGGCCACGACAACAAUUGCAAGAGGCAAUCCCUUACAUUCAGCAGCAACCUCUUUGGCUACAUCAUUCAACGUGGAACAAUCAUCUUCUAAACCAGCUUUAUCUCGAAAUAAAACCCAUGCUUCGUCUUUGGAUAAGAUGCCAAGUUGAAUUUCCUUCUGACACUUCAUUUUACUGCAGACUUGUUGUUGACGUGUAGUCAGAAGAAUUUUGCAACCCUUGUGGUCAUCACCGAAUGGAAUUCCGAUAUCCUCUAAUUUGAAUUCUUCCCAGAGGUCGUCGACAAUUACAAGGAUUUUUUUCACGCGUUGCAUACUCCUGAAUAGCUCUUCUGCUUUUCCUUCUUGGCUACUUGUUUCAAAUUUUAAACCAAAAAUAUCUGCAACUUUAUCUUGAAUUUUGUUGAUGUCUGCAUUUUGGGACAUAGUAAACAUCACAACUUUAUCAAAGAACUUUUGUUCUCGAGCAUGCUUCCCAACUUCUUUGGCUAAAGUUGUUUUACCAACUCCUGGCAUUCCUUGCAGUCCGAUCAUGUUGACACCCUUAGCAUUUAUAGCCUCCAUGAUCUGGUUGAAAGCUGAUUUUGAAGAUUUAGAGUGCAUGAAAUCAGUGGAUCUGAUGAAUUCUAUUCCUUGAAGAGGACGACGAUAGCCCACCUGUGCAAAGUUAGAAGUCUCUAAAAGUUUAGAGAUAAUAGGAAUCUUCUCUGCCAGUUUCUUACUUAAGGAAUAUCGCCAGCCCCAUUUAGGACACCAUUUGAAACACUUGACGCGAUCUAUUUCAUCUUUCAAGUUCUGGGUUUCUUUCAGUUCUUUCUCAGCGCUUGUAAGCCAGUUGUCAACGUCCUUAUGGAUGAGCUCAUUUUGCCUUUCAGCCUCAUCGACACGAAUUUUCACCCUCUCUUUCUUCAAUUCAAGUGCUUCUCGUUGAUUCUUGAAAUCUUCAACAAUCUCUCCAUAACGGAAAAAGUAACGGAGAUAGGGUGAUGCGUAUUCCUUUGCCUGGUCUGCCACAAUUUCGACAGCAGCAGGGGCAGCAUAUUCGGCCAUUUUUGUUGAUAGUCUGAUGAGGUUGAACAAAAACAUUGGUUAUUAGUAAGAAUUAACAUAAAGAGAAAUAAAAGCAAUUGUGACAAAUAAAAUCAGUAUUUGUAGUAAAAAAUCGAGUGGAAGCUACCAAAUAAGAAGCUGUAAAUAUUGAUGUAAAGCAAAGAUGUUAUUAUUGAAGAAGGUAGAAAAUACCUCUGUUUCUGUCUGAGAAUACCAGAAAGUAAAUAGAGCUUGAGAGAAAUAAGUAGCUGUAAAAGAUGAAAAGAAUUGAUUUAGUGCAGGUAAUAGAAAAAUAAUAAUAAAAAAAUUGAGAGCAUGUUUUAACCUUACAUGCACACUCAAUCGUAAUUACUCUUCCCAUUUUAUUCAUUCUAAAUCGGAGCUAUAAUUUGUAUGUGAAAUCCUAAAAACAAUUUCUCAUAAAGAAAUCCUAAAAAGAAUUACAUUCUCUUAAACAUAUUUUAUAUUUAUUUCUACAUUUUGGAUUAUAGAUUGGAUGCUUUUAAGUUCCUAUAGAAUUAGAGUUUGUGUGCUCUCUAAAAUGUUUAAUGGAAAAAACGACACAAGACUAAUGAAUGGAGAAAGGACACUCUUCAUUUGCCCCUUUCCUGUUUGAUCAGCAUGUUAUACACUUCAACUCUGAGUAAAAUCCGAUUCGAUUCGAAAAUUUUGAUUUAACUAGUUCGAGUUAUUUGUGUUAAUUAAUUUUUUGGAUAAACUCGAAUUGACUUGAAUAUGAAUUACCCAAUUCGAGUUAUUCGAAAAUCCGAAUUAGAAAAUGUAAAACUAUAUCGUUUUGAUAAAUGUGUACCUUUCUAAAGUUAAAUUCAAAACCAUUAAGUUAUAAGGCAAAAUUACGUCAUUUUGAUAAAUAUUUACUCAUUAAGUUAAGAGGUAAAACCAUUAUAUUAUUUAUGUAGUUAAAUAAUAUUGUAAUUCGUCUGUUAGUUAAACAAUCGGUCCAUGUAAAUGCAACAUUGAAUAUAAAUAAUAGGAUUGGUUAAUUCGACUCAACUUGACUCGAAAGUUUUUACUCGAUUUGAUUUGGUUAAAAAAAAUCAAAUUGAGUUUAGUUGCUAAGAUAAAUUCAUCAACUCGACUAACUCAAAAUUUUUCGAUUCGACUCAACUUAAUCAAAUACUCACCCUAAAUCCAAGGUUCUUGUUCUAGUUUGUUCAAUCUUUAAAAUGAAUAUAUAAUCUCUUUAAUUAAGACGGAACUUGUAUGAAACCUUUCUUUAUGAAAAAUAAAAUCACAAGUGAUUUAAAAUGAAAGGGAGAUCCACUCAACAAAAACAUGAAAAUAUAUAGCAAUGAGGAGCAGUUCCUCAAAACUUACCUUCACUCAACUAUCCUCUGCGCUGUUUCUUUUGCCAAGUCGAAAUCAAGGUAUGAAGAAAGUUUGGUUUUCAGAAAUAAAAGACAGUUUGCAGGAUUUUUUUUUUUGUUUUUUUUCCCUUAAUUGAGACAAUACAAGAAAAUGUGAAAACUGAAAAACAAAUAGUGGAAAUUAUCACACACACAGAUUUUUUUUUUUUUUUUGGUGAUGAUCACAGACACAGAUUUCAGAAUAUGGAAGCAAAAAAGGAAAUGAUGAGAAACACAGGUUAAUUUGAGAAUUAGAAAGCCAAAAACAAAGAGUGGAAAUGAUCAAACUUGGAAGCAAAGACCACUUUGGAUGAGGAAGAAGAAUGGGAAGUCGUUGGUUUAACUUUCAAAUGUUUUUCUACUUUUUUUAUUUAAAUUCAUAAAACAAAGUAUUGUUCAUCAUUCUUUUCUUUAUUAUAAUAAAAUAAUCAUUAUUUUUAUUACCAUUAAAGUCAAUGUCUUUGUUAAUGUAAAAUUCCAUUUUUUAUAUUUUUAUAUUUUAGUAAAAAUAUUAUUUAUUUUUAUUUAUUUUAAUUAUUAACUUAUAUUUUUUCUAUUCGAUUCUACUCGAUAAUCGAUCUAAGACUAAGAAAUUAAAAUUUUUGUUCUCGAAAAGCCAACAAUGGUGGUUAAGGCAUGUGAUUAGAGCAGAACAAAUAAUUCCCUCAAAUAAUUGAAGAAAAGGAUGACGGAUGAUUGAUUACUAAGAGUCGUCACCACUUUUGCUAGUGGGAUAGGUCUUGUCAAUGAAUUAUUGCCUUUGUAAUUAUCAAGUUUGCUCACCACUUUCGCUAGUGGGACAGGCAUUGUUGACGAAUUACUUUUUACUAUUUUUACCUUACCUGCUUCCUUUGCUUACUUAUUAUCGUGUAUAAAUAGAAUAUAUAAGUAUUAGCAUUAAAUGAUUUAUUAUAUGAAUUAGGAAAAGAAAAAAAACUUCUCUUCUACAGAUAUAGAUAAAAAUACAAAAAAAGAAAAAGAAAAUACAGAUAUAGAUAAGAAUUUUAUUUUUUUAACACGGUUAACCAUUAGACAAGGUGAUACAUUAAAUAGGAUAACUUGACUUAAAAAAUUUAAUAAAUACUAUUUAAUCAUGAUUGAAAUUUUAAAAUUUAAAAAAUUAAGGACAAAAUUUAAUUAAAUUAAAAUAUAAAAAUUAAAUAUACAAGUUGCACAUAAUACAAAAAUGGAUAAUAAAAUUUAAUUGUUUAAAUUAUAGAUAGAAUUUCAUCAAGUCUUACGUUUUAAAACUUGUGAGAGUUAUUUUAUUCAAAAAUAUCAUUAAUUAGUGGAAGAAGAAGACAUUUUAUUUGGAGUUAUUGGUUUCACUUUUUUAUGUUUAUUUAUUUUAUUUUUAUUUUUAGAAUAAAACAAUUAUCGAAAAAGAAAAUAUUGUUUAGGUAGUAAUUUGUGGGUUAAGUUGUUUUUUAAAUAGACUUAAUGGUUUGACUAAUGGAGAUAAUAAUUUUAAAAAAUAAUUUAUGUACCACUUGUGAUAAAAAAAUGUUUAAGCACGAAGAUGAAAAAAAUGGCAUAAUCUAAGUAUUAGUUUGUAGGUUAAACCAAUGUUGUGCAUAGAGAAAAUAUUAAGAAAAUAUUUUUCUUUAUUUUAUUUUAUUUUUAGAAAAAAAGGAAGCUUUUUAAAUCUCAAAAUUUUUUAAAAAAUCAGAAAAUUAUAUAUAUAAUUAUAUAAAAUUUACAGAAACUUUAAUAAUAUAUAUUUUUUGGAAAAAUAUAUAAUAGAGAGAAAAUACAAAGAAAAUGUAAGGAGAAAUCUAAAAUAUUCUGAUAGUUAAGAUAUUUGUAUAAAACAAUGCAACCUUCCAUAUAUAUCUCUCAAAAAAAUUCUGAUUUUUUUUUUCGUUCCUUGUAUGGAAUAGUUAGGUCACAUUAUUCGUACGGAAAUAGAUGUUGGUAGGUGGAAUUCAAUUUGACUAUCAAGAUCCGGUUCAAUCAUUUUCGGCAAAGCGAAGGUGGAACAAGUUUAUUAGUUAAAAGGAAUUCUGAAGCAGUUUUGUGAUUUUUCUGGGAAUAAAAUUAGUGCAAGGAAAAGUAAUAUGUAUCUUUCCAAAGUAGUUGAGACUGAUUUGUGUGUUCAGAUUAGCCAGAUAUUUGGGUUUCAGAAAUUUCUUAAUCUUGGGAUCUACUUUGGGGUGCCCCUCCUUUAUGACCGAGUUAAAGAAGAUAGUAAGGCAGUAUAUAUGGAGUUGUUCUGCUGGACAGCCAAAACUUGUUGUGGUGAGGUGGGAGUCCAUCUAUCAGCUAAGGUCUCAAGGUGGUCUUAGAUUUCGGCAUCUCAAGGAUCAAAAUAAUUCCUUUCUUAUGAAGGUUGGUUUCAAUUUGGUCACCAUGGAGGAUGCUUUAUGGGUUCGAGUCCUUCGUUUAAAAUAUGGAUGGAACAGUCACAUUCCGGAAUCCAUUUCCAGAAGCCAAAGCUUACACCUAUGGCACUCCCUUUCUAAGGUUUGGCCUCUAUUUCAUGAGAAUCUAAUUUGGUCUGUUGGUAAUGGUUCUAGUAUUCAUUGUUGGAAGGAUUCUUGGGUACGUACCGGGAAGUGGUCCUACUAUCAUAUGUUCCACUUCGUACAAGACUAGAUUUGAAGUGCACUCUGAGAGAUCGGGUAUUUAUUGAUGGUUCAUAGAACUUGGAUUUGUUUCGUACGUAUUUGACUGCCCGAAAAGGUGAUUAAGCUUAUAGUGAGUAUCCCCCCACAUUCUACUAGUGGGGAGGAUAGGGUCAUCUAGGCUUGUUCAGGGUCAGGGUCUUUCUUUGUUCACAAUGAUUAUUGGGCCUUAAAAGAAGACUUUUGGAACCCCAAAGAAGACAGUUGGAAGGAUACUUGAAAAUAUCAAGGCCCCCAAAGAGUCCACUUUUUUCCUUCAGCUAGUAUCUAAACAAAGACUUCUUACUAAUUCAGACCAUACUAGGAAAUGAAUGGGCACACCAACUAUUGUCUUUUAUGUGGCCAUGAUACAGAGGAUAUUCUAUAUGUUCUUCAAGACUGUACGACAGCAAAGGAAGUAUUGAUGCAUGUGGUUCCAUCUAAGAGAUAACACAGAUUCUUUUCUGAUCCUUUUCAAAUUUGGUUUUCCUCUAAUCUAUAUUGUCAUUUUAAUAUGCAAGAUAGCGGAGUUACUUGGUCAUGUCUAUUCAGUUUAAUUGCAUGGAGAAUUUGGAAUAACAAAAAUUUAUUCAUCUUCCAAAAUAUUACUUGAACGACUUAUGAAAUUGUCAAAGUCUCGUUAAGUUGGGCACAAUAGUUUGAACCUUUUCUUAACAGUUCCCAAGCUAAUCCUCUUAAUUCGGUAUUCCACUCACACUAUGAAGGAAAUUGGGUACAUCUAUUCUCUGAUGGAGCAGUGGCCAGAGAUUUCAGGAAUGCUUCCGUUGGCAGGAUGGUUCGUGAUCAGUUUGAAAAUUGGAUAUUGGGCUUUAAUCACUAUCUAGGCAUAUGCUCACCUCUUGAGGUAGAAUUUUGUGGUAUUCUAGAUGGACUCCUCGUUUUAUUAAAUAAGAGAUACAAGAGAGCCACAAUUCAGACAAAUAAUCUGAAGGUGGUUAAAGUUUUGACCAUGAAGGAGUACUCAAUGUACUCAGGUAUUACCUUACUCAUAAGGAUUCAAUGACUUAUGCAUUACGAAGAACAAUGGGAGAUCAGAUACGUACCUAGGAAUUGCAAUUUAAUUAUAGAUCAACUGGUAAAAAUUAGCCUUACAUGAUAGGCAAGCUUACAGAUCUUUGAAGUGCCUCUAGACACUGUGUCUAUGAAUCUUCAACAAGACAAAGCAUUUAGCGUUUCUUAGUAGUUGAUUUGAUGUAAUUUUGUUUUAUUUUCCACAAAAAAUAUGUAUACUUUUAAAUUUUUUGGAAAGUUUUUAAAACUUUCCAUAUUUUUUUUGUUAUUUCUUAAAAUUUUUUUAAAUUUUUUUUUUGAUUUUUUGAAAUUCUUUUGUAUUUUUAUCUAUUUCUUUUAGAUGAGAAGAAUAUUUUUUAAAAUUUUUGGGGAAUUUUAUAUGACUCUCCAUAAUCUUUAGAUUUGUGAAUUUUUUUUAUUUUGUUUGAUUUUUUGUAUUUUCACUUUUUUUUGGUAUUUUAUGUAUUUAAAAAAAUAAAAGUAAAUAGUUUUUUUAGUUAUAGGGAAUUUGUUAUAAAUUUGUAUAUUUUUAUUUUUUUAAGAAAAUUGAGAAUUUUCUCAAAUUUUUAUUUCUUUUUUUCCCCUUUUUCAUUUUUAAAUUUAUUUAGGAAAAUAAGAAUUAGGAGAUGUGACAUGCUAAGAGUGUGCCACAUCAUUUUCUUAAUGCUAUUAACAACUGGGGCAAAGUGAUACAUAGAUGGAAACUUCAAGUAUCAAACUAAUACAAAAAAUUCUUUAGAUACCAAAAUGAUAAUUGAGUGAAACUUUGGGGAGCAAAUAGUGCAUUAACUAUUUUAGAAUAGGAUAACUUAACCUAAUGAUUAUCUGAAAUACCUAAAAUUCAAGAUUUUCCGUUAUUGAAUUUCACUCAAAAUCAAAUAUCAAUCAUUCUUAAUCAAACCUUGAUUUGAAUAUAACUUAAUUUUGAAACUAAAAUUGGAUCUAACUAACCAAUAUAAAAAACCAUAUCAUUAAUCAAAUUUAAACAUAAAUUGAAUUCUUUAUAUUUACAACAAUUUUUUUCUAUUUCCAAACUUUUACACAAUCAUGUAGAUUAUUCCUUUUCUUUCUUUUAUUUUCUGACGAAUAAAAUUAAGCAAACGAUAAAAUUGAUUUAAACCUUCUUGGAUAUUCCCAAACAAGCUUGAUUGGAAGUAGACAUAGAUGAACCGAAGAGAGAAAGGGAGCAUGGAACCAAACUGGUUUGGAUAAAGUUGAUGGUAAGUUUAGUAUAGUGGUUGAUUUAGUCAUUGAGAAUGUAGAGCUCGUUUGAAGAAUUUGUGAAACAAUGUAAUUUCAAGAGGGAGAGAAUGUUGUAGGUCAGAUAGAUAAUAUGGUCAUUGAGAGAUCCAAAUUGAUUCGUUAAAGUGGUGAUGGACAAUAAGGGUUUGUAAUUGUGGGGUGAGAAUAUGCGAAGCAAGUUUUAUUUUGGUUUCAGCUUUCACAUGUUCUUUUUUCAUAAACAUAAAAAAAAUUAACAAAUGAAAAAUAUAGAAAAACUACGUUAAAAGAGAUGGAGAAGGGAGAAAUUCGAAGGGAGAAGCAAAAGGGAAUGAAAAAUAAAGAAAAAAAAGUUGAAAGAGCAUAAAAGAAAAAAUUAAAUUGUUUAAAAUAAAAAAAUAUGGUGACCAAUUGUAUAAUUUAAUCUAAAAUUUUUGUUUGAAAUGAAAAUUUAACGUGCCAUGUCAGCUUACCGUUACACCAUUAACGGUAAUUAAUGGCUUAGUGACUAAAAUGUUACAAUGCGUUAACGUAAAUGACUCAAAAGUAACAUUUCAAACAUAAGUGACUAAAAUGUAACCCGAGGUAAAUAAAAGUGACGAUUUUAAUAGUUUACUCAUAAAUUUAACAAUGUUAAUAAUUGUAUUUUAAUUUUGAAAUUUGAAAAGUAGGAUUAAAUUCCUAAAAUAAAAGUACACGGAGUCAAUUUCAAAUUUGGAAUGAGUACAAGAACUUGACAUAUUUUAAUCUGAUUGAAAGUUACCAAGACUUAUUGGAAAUAAUGGUUAAAGCUUUUGUCUAAUACUUAGAUAACGCGAAUUGAAACCUUAUUAUCCCCUCCUCAUCCCUAAUAUUGUAACUAGAGGUUAACCCAGGGGGGCUGGCAAGGCCCCCAGCUCCCCUUAAAAUGGUAAAUUGUUGUUUUGGCUCUUUAGAAAAUUUUAAAAUUUUAAAAUUUUAAAAUAAUAAAGGUAAAAUUACACUUUGGCCCCCUAAAAUUAUGAAAAUUUAAUUUAAUUCUUUAAAAAUUAUAAAGAUAUAGACUAUUAAAAAUUAAAAUUUCAUUUCGGCCCCUAAAAUCUUUUUUUAGCUUCACCCCUAAUUGUAAAAAAAAAUUUUAAAUUGAAAUUAUUACUUAAUAAUUAAGAAUUAUAUUUUUACAUGAUAUUCCUCAAUUAUAAAUAAUAUUAAGAUACAUGUUUUAAACAUGCUGAACCACUAUGCUUUGUGCUUGCCAAACUUGAAAACCAGAAAUUUUCCUCAAUUGAGAUGUUUUAUUGUAACCCAAGUAUUUAGUUCAUUGACACUUAACUAUAUUUUUCCCUUAAUCAUUUAAUUUUUCGAAAUUGAAUUUUAGUCACUUUUUCUUUAAUUGUCUAAUGGAAGUCUAACAUGAGUUUUGUUUUAUUAGUUUAAUAAUAAAUUUAGGCAUUUAUAAUUUACACAUUUAAUCAAUUUGAUCUCAAAUCUAAAAUAAAUUCAGUCUUCAAUAUUUUCAAGAUUUAUCAUUCUAAACUUAAUUAUAAAAACUAUAAAAAAUAAAAAUCUUAAAAAAAUAAAAAGAAAAUAUAAAUUUGUGAUUUGAAUAUUAAAAUUUGAUUGAAUAUUCAUGAUUUGAAUUAAAACAAUUUUUGAUUUCUUUUAUCAUUUAUAUUUGGACUCUUAAGAAUAUUAAAACUAGAAAUAUAUAAGAUUUAUAUAACAAAAAUAGAUAAUGUUAGAUUAUGUGAUCCGAAUUUCGCCAUUUGUUAAAGAAAUAAAAGUAAGAUAAAAUAUACCAAAGUUGCAAAUAUGCAAUAGAAGAACAUAGUAGAUUUAAUUACCAGCACAAAGUUCUAAUUUACGGAUUUACAAAGGGAAUAGUGGUUUAUGUUUAAUAGAAAUUACAAACACACUAUAUAACAUAUUAUUCUUAAAGUCGAGUUUUCUUAGGAGAAAUCAAGUCCUGAAAAUACACAAUACAAUAUGAAUAAAGGAGAGUAGUUGCACUUUGCCUACAAUAAGCCGCUCGAUUCCAUUGAUAUUAUGGCACCUUAGGUACCUAUAAAAUUUGAAAACAAGGAUUUAUCAAAAACGUAGUGGAAUUCAAUGUGUUUUAAGUAAUGUAAUGAUUGGUUUUUUAAGAAUACCUGCGGAUUUAGCAUCAUAUAACGUUUGGUAAGAAGCUUGCAUCUAAUAGAACAAAGCUUGGAAACAACAUCAAUCAUGUCUAUCCUCAAACUUGGUGAAUCUGCAGAACAAAUUUCAUAAAUUUUUUAUCCGAUAUUGAUCUUUCAAAUCAAUUAGUUAAUCUUUCACGGUUCUUGAAAAAUAUUUCGUUAAUAUACAAAUGUUAACUCUUGUAUAAUUGCCGUUUGAAGGAACCAAUUUAGGGAUCCUAGAUCAGAUUUGAACGUGAAGGACAUCGCUCAAGAUCUAGACGAAUCGGGGAAAAAUCGUGCCUAUGAUAGCACCACACAGUCUUCCACACAAGUUUGUGGGUCACACGGCCCCUCACACGACCAUGUCCCCCUAAAACCCAAAAAUCUUAGAUUCUCACAUAGCCUAGGACCCUUCAUAUAUGACUAUGUCUCCCUUGCACCCUGGUUUUGCAUGACCCACACAGCCACAGUCUAUCACACGAUAGUGUAACCCCUUCGCAUUGUUGAAGGCAUUGCACACGGCCAUGUGCCCCUAUUUUAAAUUUUUACCUAGAAUUUUACGAUAGAAUUUUUUUUGGCUUGCCCCCGAUUGUAACAAAAAAGAAUUUUAAUUCUUAAUUAUUACUUAAUAAUUAAGAAUUAUAUUUUUACAUGAUUUUCCCCCAUUAUAAAUAAUAUUAAGGUAUAUGUUUUAAACAUGUUGAACCACUAUGCUUUGCGCUGGCCAAAGUUGAAAAACAGAAAUUGUCCUCAAUUGAGAUGUUUUAUUGUAACCCAACUAUUUAGUUCAUUGACACCUAACUAUUAAUUUUUUUUCUUAACCAUUUAAUUUUUCGAAAUUGAAUUUUAGUCACUUUUUCUUUAAUUGUCUAACGGAAGUCUAACAUGAGUUUUGUUUUAUUAGUUUAAUAAUAAAUUUAGACAUUUAAUAUUUACACAUUUAAUCAAUUUGAUCUCAAAUCUAAAAUAAGUUCAAUCCUCAAUAUUUACGAGAUUGAUCAUUCUAAUCUUAAUUAUAAAAAGUAUAAAAAAUAAAAAUCUUAAAAAAAUAAAAAGAAAAUAUAAAUUUGUGAUUUGAAUAUUAAAAUUUGAUUGAAUAUUCAUGAUUUGAAUUAAAACAAUUUUUGAUUUUUGAUUUCUUUUAUCAUUUAUAUUUGGACUCUUAAGAAUAUUAAAACUAGAAAUAUAUAAGUUUUAUAUAAUAAAUAUAGAUUAGAUUAUGUGAUCCGAAUUUCGUCAUUUGUAUUUGGGAAGCGUCAUCCUUAUGAGUUAAUUGUUUUACACUUCUUACUUGGUGUAGCUUCUUACAUGGGCCGUGAGUGGGAACUUAGUUUUCGUUUGGGUAUGCGGCCUUGGAUCACUAUUGCAUAUUCAACUCCUGUUGCAGCUACUACCACCGUUUUCUUGAUCUAACAUGUGAAACAGAUACAGACAUUGCUUAGAGGUCCAAGGUUUAAAUCACACCUCUCUCAUUUUUCCUUUUUAAAUUUAUUAAGAAAUGGGUAGCAAUCCAAUGGUUAAACACUUAUUCCUCUCCCAUGCAGCCUCUUCAUAUUUGAAAACUCUAGCUAUUUAGUCCCCUUUUCCCUAAUUACACUAGGAUUAUGUUUUUUUUUUGUUCCAAUUAGAAUUUCUCUUCUCUCUCCCUAUUUCUUCUCAUAUUUCUUUUCCAUCGUCAUCUUUGCAUCAAAUUUUCUCUCCAUUGCUGAAACUAUUUUUGCUCUCGAUGUCAAAUCAAUCCCCGAUAAUUCGAUUCUCUAUCGAUUGUUGAAUUCAUCGUUGAUAGCUUCCAUAAUUCCAUCAAGUACGGUAAGUGCCUCUCAAUCUAAAGUUUAGGACCCCAAAUUUCAUAAAUUUUUUAUUCGAUAUUGAUCUUACAAAUCAAUUAGUCAAUAUUUCACGGUUCCAAAAAAAUCUUUCGUUAAUAUACAAAUGUUAACUCUUGUAUAAUUGUUGUUUGAAGGACCCAAUUUAGGGAUCUUGGAUCAGAUUUGAACGUGAGGGACAUCGCUCAGGAUCUCAAUGAAUCGGGGAAAAAUCGUGCCUAUGAUAGCACCACACAGUCUUUGACACAAGUUUGUGGGUCACACGGCCCCUCACACGACCAUGUCCCCCUGAAACCCAAGGAUCUUAGAUUCUCACAUGGUCUAGGACCCUUCAUAUGACUGUCUCUCCCUUGCACCCUAAUUUUGCAUGAUCCACACGGUCACAGUCUGGCACUUAAUAGUGUAACCCCUUCGCAUGGCUGAAGGCAUUGCACACGACCAUGUGUCCCUAUUUUAAAAUUAUACCUAAAAUUUUAUGAUUUGUUCAGUUUAGUCCCUGAAUCAUUUUUGAAUUAUUUUUUAGAGUUUUAUUUUUUUUCGAUUAAGUCCCUAAUAACAUGGAAAAUGCUAGAAUCCAUGACAUGAUUGACUAAAUUAAUAUUAUAUAUAAUUAUCUGGAUUGUGAAUGAUAUAUAUGUUUAUUACAUAAACAGAGCCAUGUUGUGCUCUAUCUAUAAGUAUAAACAGAUAAUCAAAAUAAAUUUCACUUCUUCUUGAAUGAUUUGAUUAUAUAGAGAGUGACAUUCUUUAGAUCUUAUGCAUGUUUUGAGUUAUAUAUAAGAAUGGAUGUGAUAUUAUAUAUGUGUUAUAAAUUGUUUUUUAUUGUCAAGGUUGUGGUUCUUAGGAAAUAGACUGUGGACUAUCAUCUCCAUGUAAGGCUAUUUUUUUAAAAUUCAUAGAAUUCUUGUGAAUCGAAAACGGACAUAAGACUUAAAUCACUACAAGAAAUUAAGCUUUUAGAGGCGUUUUUAGUGGCGUUUGGACCAAAAACACCGCAAAAGUUAUACAUUAGUGGCGCUAAUCGAAAAACGCCGCAAAAGGUUAGAGCUAUAGUACAUUUAUGAGAAAACGCCGCAAAAGGUCUAGUAGCAACAUGCAGAAGGUCUAGCAAUAGCAGCGCUUAUGAGAAAAAUACCGCAAAAAGUCAAGCAUUAGCGGCGUUUUUAUACGCUGCAAAAAAUCAUUUUAUUUUAAACAAACGGCGCCGUUUUGCUCCCUGUAUUCUCACCCAUCAUCCAAGUGGCCAAUCAUGUAUUCUUUUUGACAACUCAUGCACUCUUUCAUCCUAUUCUGUUUAUUAUUUAACUAGUUUCUUUAUAUUAAUUAAAAUAUAAUUUAUUUUUAAUUUAAUAUUAAAAAUCUUCAAAAAAAAAAUUAAUGACAUGUAGAAAACAUUUGAAAGUAAAACCAUAGAAAAAUAUAUGUUAAAAAUGAAAAAAUUAAAUUACUAUUAUUUAAAAUACUGUUAUUUAAAAUAAUUUUAUUUGCUCUAACAAACUAAUUUCUAACCAGAAGAUUUUGAUUGGGGAUUCUAGUUUAUAGAGAGGCUUGACUCCUUUUGUAGAUGAUGGCCUAAUUAAGAUAGUUGGAUUUAGAAAUGUCCUGCAUGGUCUUGUUUUGCUUGCUCCAAAUGGACAUGGGACUCAUUUAGCACAGGUAGAAUGAGACUGUUCAUGACUGGUUUGCACUCUUUAACCUUAGGGAUUUUGAAAUUUUGGAGAUUAGACUAUAUUUGGGAAUUUGAAGAUAUAGCGAAAAUUGUAGCUCCUAACCAAAUUAGGUUCAUUGAUUAUGAGGUUGGAUCCUUCAUUGUUGGUAUAUAAAUAUUAUGAGUCGGGCAUGACAAUGAUUGUAACUUGUGAGCAUGGUUAUUUUACCUUAUUGAUAUUGAUAAAAUUAUUGAAGAUAUUACCUUUGUACUAUUUUGAUUUUUGUUGCCCGAGAUGCAAUCUUUCUCCCUGUUUAGAGCCCAUGUUUGUAAGGUGUGCCAAAAGUUGAACUUGAAUUAAAAACAUAAUAUUUAAAUUCUAAAUUUAAAUUCAUUAAUUUUUAUAUUUAGUUUUAAAGUUAAAAUUUUAAUAGAAAAUUUAAUUUAAUUAAUAUUUUUCUAUUUAGUAUAUAGUUUAAAGUGUUGGAACAUUUUCAAAUAUUUAUAGUAUCCCAAUAACUAUAAAUGAAUGGGUGUAAUUAAUCAAAAGAUAAAUCUUUUGGUCAUUGGUCAAAAGUUAUAUCAUUUGAUUUUUUUAAAAAAGAAUUAUAAUUAUUCAAAAAAUAUUAUUUGAAUAGUUACAAAAUUAAAUGAAUAAUUAUUAUUAUAUAUUUAUUCAUAAAGACACCUAUUGAAAUAUGUCUCUAUGAAGAGACAAGAAAAUUCCUAUAAAUAGGAAUGGGUUUUCAUUUGGAAAUAUAUCAACAAAUUCUUAUAUUAUUUCUUCUCUUCCUUCAUUUUCUAAUAUUAUUAGAUUAUUCUAUAAAGUAUUACUGCAGAAAUCCUUUGUAGAAAUUGAGUUUUUGUUACACAUUACUCAGUGCAUAGUGGACUAUUCUCGUCAGUGCAAAACGCAAAUAGUCAUUGGCUUCAUUGUAUCCUCGAGGUUAAUUUGCUUGGAACUCAUUUGCACACUGAAGAUAAGUGGGGGCGAAUAUAACCUUAAAGAUAGUGGCUUGAUACACGCCUUGGAGCCUUGUAUUAUUUCUUCUUUUUCUUUUCGAGUUCCGAUUGUGUGUUCGAGAUUUUCCUUACCGGAGUUUUGUAAUAACAUAAAGUUCAAAUUUCAAAAAUAAAACAUAAUAUAAUAUUUUAUCAUAGAAAUAAAUAUUAUUUAAUUAAAAUAAUUAUUUUUAAAGAUCAUGUUCUAUAGCAGCGUUUGUGGGAAAAGCGCCGCUAAAAGUCAUGUUCCAUUACACCCAAAUUAUAUCAGACACUUAACUAAAAACAUCCGAGCAACAUUGCUCCACCAACUGAUGUAACAUGGCUUUGAAAGCUACCCUAAAAUCAUCCAUUCUUUCAUGUAAUGUGUGGUAGUUGACUCUCACCCCCAUUAUUGGCUCCAAUUUAUAUUCUCGUUGAAAACUACAUUUCGAAUAGUGGUAGACUCUUCAACCGCAUCUUGCUUAACCAACUGAGGUGCCUUGGAAAACAAUUGAAGAAAAAUUUAUAAUUGAAACUUUAAUCUCAUGUCAUCAAGGAAAAAAAUAAGAAACACAUAUAUACUCAAGGAAUUUAAUUAAAAAUUUUGCAUGUUAUGCCUUCAGUUGCAAUUGUUAUAAUUACAUAGAAUAAAGUAGGAUUAAAAGGUUGUAGGAUAUAUACCUUUGUUUUGCAAUGUACAAAUUCCUGUGAAUCAAUGAAGAAACCAGUAGUAAACUUAGGGCAAUCUCUUACUUUCAACUCUAUCAUUGCUGGGAAUACAGAAUGAUAUCCUUUGGGACAAAAGUGAAUGAGGCCAGGUAGUUCUUCAAGUGAUAACCUUUUUAAUUUAUCAAAUUUCAUCUCCUCUUAAGCUACCACUUCCACUUUUUCUUCUAAUUCGAAUACUUGUUCCAAUUUAGAAUUCCUUUUAACUAUGAGAAUUUUAAGCUUUGGAAGAACAGGAACAAAUCCAAAAGGAAAGAGACUGUUCAAUUUUUUACAAUUUGUAACAACGAUCCGAGUCAAAUUGGGAAAGCUCAUAGGUUGGAGGCUAGUAUCACCAUUUGAUGAUGAUGAAGAAACUUGAUCCUUGGCUAAAAUGAGUCGUUCUAUUUCCUCACACCCCACGAUGAAAAGAUCCACCAAAUGUGAUAAACUGCGAGCCAUCAUAGGUGAAAAUAUAUAUCUUAGCUUCUUGCAAUCACUCAGUGUUAGAGUUGUAAGGUUCUCA
Molecule: long non-coding RNA, 44619 nt
Filed under: Gossypium raimondii (Peruvian cotton)
Lineage: Eukaryota; Viridiplantae; Streptophyta; Magnoliopsida; Malvales; Malvaceae
Description: long non-coding RNA (GRAI_LNC007844)
Source: RNAcentral